GUUGAGUAGGUGUUUUAUUGUCAAGGAAGAGCAUUACAAAGUCUUAGACAUAAUAUAAAGUAACUUUGCAAAUAAACUUUGGAAAUUUAAGACCAUGAUGUAAACGGUGAAGUUGACAUGGUCCAUAUGUGUUUUGUAUCUGUUUUAAGAAAGAUAAUGUGGACAAGAUGAACAAGGUGAUAUUUAAAGAUUAUCAAAUAAAAAACAAGAUAAUAUAAUUGCUACCAUUCAAAGCUAAAUUGCAUUACAAGUAUCACAUGGAGUAGCGCAUUGCAAUUUGAUUAGAAAAUCAAGGAUUGUUAACUGCUUACUAAAAGACAUUCUUUAAAGGAAAGUAGAAGAUGUCAAUAGAUGCAUUUUUAAGCGUGGACAUUAGAAAGUUAUACUUCAUCAUUAAUGCUCUAAUUAUCAAUAGUGUAUUUACAAACUUUUUCUAUUUCUUUGAAGACAACAUUAAAGAUAGUGAUUUUGAGUCAAUCUCAAAAAUAAACACCUUGAAGUUGUUCAAGUUGGAUGAUUUUAACUCUAAAUAAUUGGUUAUAAUCAAGAAUCUAAUGAUGUAUUUUAACAUGGCUACUAGAACAAAAAGGAUAAAUGAAGAUCUUUAUUUGAGAAUGGCCUAAUUGAAGGUUUAAUAGAAAAUUAUUUUAGAAAUUAUAAGUAAAAGUUACGAAGAAAUAAAAAUAUUAAAAAAAUGUAUUUAUUAUUUUUUCUAUUAAAAGAGAUUUUAUUUAAUUUAAAAGAAUUUUAGGUGCAUUGGUUAUGAACAAAUUAAAUUUGUAUAGAUUAUGCAAGAGCUAUGUUGAGUUAGAUUUUGGUUUGAUUUGGUUGUCUUUGUUUUUUAAGAUUAAAGUAGACUUUUUAUUUUGGAUACUUUGUAAAUUUUAUUAUAGAUCUAUAGGUGAAAUUUUUGGAUUUGUAUAUAUAUUUGUCUUAAGUCUAUGAUAUAAACUUGAACUUAGUUACUUAGUUGGAUUCAAAGUUAUUAGAAUUCAAGUAGUUUAGAAUAUUGGUAGUUGAUAAUUGGAGGGUUAGUAAGAAUUUCAAAGAUUUGUAGGAAUUUUUCAAUCAAAUUGAGAUAUACAUUUAUAAACAAGUAGUUGAAGUAAAUUCCAAUCUAUAUAAAAAAAUCAAAUCAAAUCAAAUCAAAUUAAUAAUACAAGUAGAUUAUCUUAGUGUAAAGAAUUUAAUAUACAAUUAGAAAAAAAAACAAUCUAACAAUUGAAUAAUUUAUUUGUGUUUUCUCUCAAUCUAUAUAUAUGAUUUUUUUUAAUAUUUUUGAGCUUUUUUUUAAUUAAGAGAUUCAAAGAUAUGUAAUAUUUAAAAUAAAAUCAAUAAUUAAUUAAAAAAUACACAUGGAUUUUCAAUUAUUGAUGGAUUUAUUUUAAAUUGAUUAAGAUUUUUUUAGAAUAUGGUUAGGAUUUGGUUAAGAUUUGAUUAUGAUUGUUUAUAAUUUCUUUAAGAUUUGAUUUAUUUUUAUUGUAAUCUUUUUAGAAUAUGGUUUAGAUUAGUUAGAAUUAUUUUUGGAUUUGGUGAAAAUUUAUUAGAAUUUAAUUAAGAUUUAUUUAGUAUUUUAUCAGGAUUUAAUAGAUUUAAUUUUAGAUUUAAUAAGUAUUAUUUAAUAUUAUUUAAUAUUUUCUUAGGAAUUUUUUAGAGCUUGAUUAUUAUUUAAUAAAAUAUAUCUAGAAUUUUUCUUGAAUUCAUAGAGUAUUUUGAGGGUAUCUUAAGGCUUAUUUAAGACCUUAUUUGAGUUGUUUAUGAUUAUAUAGGUUGUAAUUAAAAAUCGGUAGAUUUAAAAACUAAUUGAAAUAAAUAUUUCAACAAGAUCAAGAUUUCUAAGUUGGUUGUUUUUAAACAUCUUAAGCAUAUCUUUUUUAUUAUUUUUUUAUCUUUCCAUUAAAUGAAUUUUGUUACUAAAAAAGUGACAAUAGAGAUAUUAGAUAGAAAUUUGUAUAAGAUGAUGUGUUUUUCAUUUGUAAACUUUUGCUCUCAAUAAAAUUUGAUUGUUUUCAUUAAAUACAAACUGUCCAAAAGAUACAACGUGUUGGGUGCAAUUUGAUACUAUGAUUAGUUGAAUUCUAAAAAAUUAUUAUUAUUUGGUGAAACACAUCAAAGAGAAGUUUUAGAUAUAUACUACUUUGGCACUUUGGAAGAUAUUGACGGUAUUUAUUGCUUUAUUAUUCAACAUCUAUAAUGUAACAGUUUCUAUUUUUUAAUCCAAAGACAUGGUAUUAUCACAAUAGAGCUCAAAAAGCAAUAAUUUGACUACUAAUCUCUCUAGCAUUGGCAUUAUUGAUCAUGCACCAAUAAAGCCAUACAAAUAUUCAUACAAAUAUUUAGACUCAUCUAAAUAUAUCAAAGAAGAGGUAUUGUAGUAGAGCAUGGUUAAAAUAAUUAUACUAUUGACACAUGGAGAUAUGUAAUUGGGAUUAUUUUUAGAAAGUUUUUAGAAGUUUUUAGAAUUGGAUUUAAGUUAGUGGUCUAUAUAGGAUCCACCAUGGAACAUCCUAAAAGAACUAAGGGCGAUUAUUUAGGUGGAUCCCACUUCUAGAAUCUUUUAGAAGAGUAGUUAUCUUUGUGGAAUCUACCAUCAAGGUAAUUCUAAAAAGUUUUAAGAUGGUUUAAUAAAGUAUAAAUAGGAUUGAUUGAGGUCAUUUGGAACAUUUAGUUAGGUAUGGUUUUGGUCCCUUUUUCUCAAUAAAGUUUGAUUUGUAUUUUUUUAUAUAUUUUGUUCUAUUCUAUUUUCUUUUGCUUUGUUUCAUCUUUUAUGUUUUAUUUUGUUUAAUUCUGUUUAGUUUUGUUCUAGUUUGUUUUUUCCUAUUUAGUAAUGGGAUCUAUGCUACUAUAGAUUGGAAGGGUUUUAAAUCUUUAAGAGAAUUCAAUUCUAUUUUAGAUGCUAUAGAUGAAGUGAAAAUCAAUCAUUGAACAUAUCCAUAAUCAAGACUUAUAAGCUUGUGUUUUUUUUGUUUUUUUGUUAAAGUCAAGUCUUGAUUAGUAUGUGAUACUACUCAAUAUUUCUUGAAUUAUAAAUUACUUAAUCAUUUAAAUAUCUUAAAUUUGUAUUAAGUAUAAUAACAAAAAAUAGAUUGUUAUAAACUAAGCUUUACACAUAAUGCCUAAACAACUUAUAACAAUCUAAAUUAUAAUAUUCAUUAAUUAAAUUCUUAAUCUCUAUUAUUUCUACUUUACAUGCUUCUUAUUAUUGAAAAUCUUUAAACAAGUAGAAUACAAUUAUAAAGCAUUAUUACAUGCCUACAAUAAUGAAUUCAUAAAAAAAUAUAUAUUAUAAAUGGUCAUGAUUGUAUGACCAUGUUCAAUCAUGCAUUGUUAUGGACAUACACAUGUAAACCAAUAUGAUUAGAUAAAAGUAGAUAAAAGUAGAUUAAUUCCAUAAUAUCUUCUAUAGAAGCUUUUUAGAAGCUUUGUAGAUACUGCUUUGACUUUAUAGGUGUCUAUAAUUGACUUUUUAAGUUAAAAACGUGGUCAACAAGUUGGUCAUAUGCCACACAUGUUGGUAGCUUGAAGAAUAAGCUAAUUAUGUGGCCUACACAUAGAAAACUUGUCUUGUAAGGUAAAGCAUGUGUUUUACAAAGUCAACAUAUAUUAGAGGUUCUAUAGAACAUCACCACAUAGUUCUUAGUUAGAUAGUAUAUAUAGAGGCAAGAGUGAAGUCGUCUUCACUUUUGUCAACUCAUUUUUUGCUUCAAGUCUAGAUUUAAGAAUCUCUAGUUUCCUUGUCUUUUGGCAAUAGCUAUUCCAAUUUCUUUUUAAUAUGUAUACUACUUUAUUGUUAUUUUGUCACUUUUCUUUUGACAUAGAUUUCUCAAGUUUAUGCAUCUUCUUCUAAUUCAUGUCCUUGACAUGCAUAGAAUUAUUGCAAAGGUUAUUUCCUUCAAUUUUAUUGGUUCUCAAGUACUUUGCUAUUUGCCUUUAUCAACACUAUAUUAGUGGAAUUAUAUUUUAUUAUUUAAAAUUUUAAAAAAAAAUAAAACAAAACAAAAAAACAAAAAAAAAAACAAAAAACAAAAAAAACAAAAAACUCAAAUUACUAAUCCUUCAAAAAUCUAUUUCUUGAAGAAAUCUUCUAAAAAAAGAAACAUGCUCAUGAAGCUUCAAUUUGAUAUUUGCUACUAGUAUAAGAAGUUGGCGUACCACAAUGAAUUUAAGUAUAGUAAUUGUGACAUAUCUUAUUUUUUUCAAACUUUUUUUAAUGUCUUAUAUCAUGAAAUAUUCAUAAUCUAUAACUUGAAAUAAUUGAUCUUCAACUUAGUUAUUAUCUUUACUUUCUAAAAUUAAUAUUUAAUUCUUAUGACAUUAUUAAAGAAUUAAUGUCUAAUUUGAUGAGUUAUAAAAUUUAAAUUCAUAAUUUUACAAAGAUAACAUAAUUUAUAGUUUAUCUAGUAAUUGUAUUCAAUAAUAUAAUAAAUGAUUACAUGUAACUAAAUUUCAAGGAGAUAUAAUUACUAGAAUCAAAAUCUUGAGGAAAAUAAAUCUAGAUCAAAGUGUGUUUGUUAAAGCCAAGAACUGAAAGAAAAUAUGGAAUUAAAAGAGAUUUGUAUCAACAAGAGAUGACAAAAAUAGAAAUAAAAAAAAUAUGUAUCUUUAAGAAAAAACUAAAAUGACUAUUACCAAAGACUAGAAAUCCAAAAACUUUUGAAACUAGACUAGAAGCAAGAAAGGAGUUGACAAGAGUAAGAAAGGCCUCAUUCUUGCCUCUACAUACACUACCUAAGUUAGAGCUACAUAAUGAUAUAUUUGCAAUGGAUAGCAUUAAGAUAGCAAAAAUCUACACAAAUAUAGAGUUUAUUAUUUUUCUUAGGAGCAACAAUAAUUAGAGAAAGCCAAAUGAUUUGGUUGAAUAAUUCAAUGAAUUUGUGUGAGACUUGGAAAUUGAUUUAAAUAGUCUAAAAUUGAGCUUUAAUCUCCAAAUUGAGUAUGUAUAGAGUAGUUUCUUUGAUUUGAUUCCAUUCAAUAAUAUAGAGGUUAGAAAGUUCUAACACCAAGCAAUAUUACUUAUAAGGACUAGCUUAGUCAUUAGUCCUAUUUUCUACUAGUAGAAUUCAUAUUUUUUUAUUUUUGAUUUUACUGUGGUUUCCAAAAAUAUUUAAUUGGCCUAGUAAAUUUAUAUGGCCUUCAAAUCCUUCUCCAAUUCUUCAUAAUGGCUCCCAAGGUGAUAAAACUUAUUUGUACUAAAAUCUUAAAAAUUAUUCUAAAAAUUCCUAAAAAAAAUCUAGAGAAAUUUUAAAUAAAUUCUUCAAAUUAUUAAAAUAAUUCUAAAAUUCUAUAAUCAAUUUAAGACUAGAUUUUUUUUAACUAAGUAGCUUUCUAUAGUAAUAAAAUAAAUUUAAAUCAACUAUAAAUUAUAUUUCUAAUAUAAAUAAUAAAAAAGAUAUGAGGUUCUUUCUCAUGCUUCUUUUAACUACUAAUUAAUAAUUACAAUUUUUUUAAAAUUAGUAUAUGAAGAUAGAAGGCUUAUGUAGAUAUUUGUCUCAAUAAUUAAAUAAUAAUUCUUAAUAAUAAACUUAAUAAGAUUCUAUCCUAUUAAUAUUUUCUCUAGUAAGACUCUUGUACCCAAUUAACACUUCUAAAUUCUAAUAAAUACUCAAGUAAUCAAAAAGAUUCUCUAAUUCUAAUAUUUUGUAAUUAAAUAACUUAAAACUAUAUUUUUAACAGUUCUACCAAUCAAGAUCUAUUGAUAGGACUUACAUAGCUAUUUUAAUUUUAAAACUAUAUUAUUUUUGAGUAAAUUUAUAGAUGUCUUCAAAAGAGCCGCAAGACCAUAAAAAUUUCUCCUAUGAGUAUUUAAUAUUUAGAAAGUUAGUAUAAAAGUGCCCUACAACUUGGAUAUUUGACCUAAAAGUCAUACAAUCUUUAGAAAUUUUCUAAAUUGCCUACUUAUUAGCUAGUAUCUAUGAAGGAAAAAUUGAAGCUAUCUUCACUCUUCCCUACACCUUUUUACAAUUUAAUCUUUGUUCAAGAUUCUCUUGAUUCUUUGCACUUGAUAAUUUUUAUUCUAGUAACUUUCUAUAUUUUAAAUAUAUAUCUUCUUUGUAUUUUUAUUUAUUUUUAAUUCUUUUUAGUUUUGCACAAGUAUAGUGUCUUUUGAUAAGUCUUUCUAAAUCCAUGUCUUCAAUUAACAUUGAAGUAGAAUUUACAAGAAUACUUCUAUUACUACUCCAAUUUUUUAAAAAGAGUCAAAAUUUCUUUAAUCAAUUUACUUCUAUUAAUUUUUUUUGUAGUUCUUUUUAAUGGCUUUCAAAGACAAUUGAAAAUAUUACAUUUUAAAAUUUUAUGUUAAUUCACUAACUAAUCAUCAUUAACUUUUCAAAUUUUUGUUAAAUUUAGAGUUUAAUAAUUAGUGUAAAAUUAAGCAUUCUCCACUAACUAUAUAUAUAUAUAUAUAUAUAUAUAUAUAUAUAUCAAUAAAUCAAUUAAUAUAUAUAUUUUUUAAAAAAUGGUCUAUUCUUCUUAGAUUUAUUUCCUCUUCUUUUUAAUACACAAUAAUAGAUUGCACCAUGUAACAUCAUGUCUCUUUAACUUACUUUAGAAUACUAAAUGACAUUUGUAUUAAACUAUUUUUUUGUAUUCAAAGUUUUUGAAUGCCAAAUAUAUUGAAAUGUGUUUUAAUUUUUAUUGUAGAAAUACUUCUGAAAUAUUUUUACAUAUUUUACAAUAUAUGUAUGAACAAGCCCUUCUAAUAUAGGACAAUUUAGUUAAGUAUAGGACAUUAUCCUUAACUAAGCAAAAUAAAAUUGUCCUGUACCAAGAGUAUAUUUUCAAACUUACAACAGUUAGGAAACAGCAUUUCAUAGUUAUUGAACUUUAAAUGCAUGGUUGUCCCUCCUAUGUACCUCUAUAAUGAAGACUCUUCCAGUCAUGUCUAUUUGUGUCACAUAUUACACUUUAUAUAAGACAAAGAGGACAAAAAACUUAACACCUUACAAAAGUCUUUCACUUGGUGAAGAAGAACUCUAUUAGAAUCCUUAGUUUUUGGAGAUAACAUAAAGUGAAAAGACACUAUAAAGUAGAAAAAAUAUUUUAUUACAAAUAUGGGACUUGAUUCUAAUUAGAAAGUCAUUUGUUUUAUUUUCAUUCAUUUUUAAGUGAAUCCUUCAUACAUAAGUUUUUUCGAACAUAAAAUAUUUAAAAAAACCAGUUUCGAAUCAAACUUGGGGCAGAUUUUCAAGGAUACUAUUUAUCAUAAUUUAAGCAAUUGUAUUCAAUCAUUUUCCUCCUUUGCCAUCUACAAUCUCCGUUCCAGGUAUGACAUGGACAAAGCUGAAACUUCUCCAGUUUCUUCGCAUCGACCAAGUCGUUGAUUAAAAAGUCAUUGCUUUUUACUUUAAUCACUGUACACAAACUGUUCAUAGUGGCUUGGGCAAUACUAGAGGAUACUAGAGACCGAGGCAAACGAAUUGUGAGGGAGAGUGACACUAUUCGAUUGUAAGGUAGUGCUGACGAACAACGGCAGCCUGAUCUCAUUUCCAUCUUGAGAUUUAUCGGCAUGUAAUAUAUAAGUUUCUGGGUGGUGCAUAAAUAAUUUUUCAAAAUGAUAAAACUUAAAUAACCGGGAACUGCACCAUAGAUAAAGAACACGAUCACCAAUUCCAUUGCAAUCACCACUCUCAUUUCCCAACAGCAUACCACAUCCACGCCGAUAUUUAGCUCAUGCGCAAUUCAAUUACGUAUCAAUAUGACAUUCAAUGUUCCGGACUCCAAGAGCCCUGCCAUCUUCGGUCCAGUACCCAAGUCUGCCUUUGCCUCUCACUCGCCUGCAGCAAGUAUAUCGAACAAGCACACAAGCAACUCAACAAGUGCACGCUCCAACAUAAGAUACCUACCCCAAUAUCAACCCCGCUCUGGACACCCGGUGACUGCUCCGCCAAAACCAAAUCCCGCACUAUUCACUUCUUCUUGGCAGCGGCCUUAGUAACCUUCGCACCAGUUGGUUCCUUCUUCUCCACGGCCUUGAUAACACCUACGGCCACCGUCUGUCUCAUGUCACGCACGGCGAAACGUCCCAAUGGCGGGUAUUCCGCGAAAGUCUCCACAGUCAUGGGCUUGGUCGGAAUCAUCUUCACGAACCCUGCGUCUCCGUUCUUCAAAAACUUGGGCUCCUUCUCCAGCUCCUUACCCGAUCGCCUGUCCACCUUCGUCAAGAUCUCGGCAAACUUCACGGCAAUGUGAGAGGUGUGACAGUCCAGCACCGGCGCGUAACCGUUUCCGAUCUGUCCCGGGUGGUUCAUGAUGAUAACCUGGGCAGUGAAGUUGGCUGCUUCCUUCGCAGGGUCGUUCUUCGAGUCCGAAGCCACGUAUCCUCUCUUCAGGUCCUUCACCGCCACGUUCUUCACAUUGAACCCGACGUUGUCUCCGGGGUGAGCCUCAGGCAUCGACUCGUGGUGCAUCUCCACCGACUUCACCUCAGUCGUCAGUCCAGUGGGUGCAAAGCACACCAACAUACCCGGCCUGAUGAUUCCAGUCUCCACACGUCCCACUGGCACAGUUCCAAUACCUCCAAUCUUGUAGACAUCCUGAAGGGGCAACCGCAGGGGUUUGUCGGAUGGCCUCUUGGGCUCUGACACGUUGUCCAGGGCCUCGAGAAGGGUUGGGCCCUUGUACCAGUCCAAGUUCGUCGAUCGCUCGAUCAUGUUAUCACCCUCAAACCCUGAAAUGGGCACGAACGGAAUCUUGUCCGGGUUGUAACCGACCUUCUUGAGGUACGUCGACACCUCCUUGCUGAUCUCAUCGAAUCGAGCCUUGCUGUACUUCGGCGUGGUAGCGUCCAUCUGCCACACAUGGCAUACACAUCGUCAAUAAAAGGACAUCCUCAACCCAUGCGUGCCCUAUUCUCACUCCAAAACGGUUCUAGCUUUUCUAAGUUGGUGGUUAUAUACAAUGACAUAAGACAGUACAUAUGUCAGGCGGUCUAAUUCAUUGGUCCAAGUAACCAAAGUAGACCUUGUUCAUACAUCGGCGGUCGCAGUAUGAUUCAAAAUGCGGUACCGAGACGAACUCAAUGAAUGUACAUUUGAUAUGACUUACCUUGUUGCAGCAGCAGAUCAUCUGCUUCACUCCCAAGGUGAAAGCCAACAGUGCAUGCUCACGGGUCUGCCCAUCCUUGGAGAUACCAGCCUCGAAUCCUCCGGUGGUGGAGUCAAUGAUCAGCACUGCGCAGUCCGCCUGCGACGUUCCCGUAAUCAUGUUCUUGAUGAAAUCGCGAUGUCCGGGAGCGUCGAUCACAGUGCAGUAGUACUUCACGGUCUCGAACUUCCACAGCGCAAUAUCGAUCGUGAUACCACGCUCGCGCUCAGCCUUCAGCUUGUCCAGCACCCACGCGUACUUGAACGAACGCUUGUUCAUCUCAGCCGCUUCCUUCUCAAAGCGCUCGAUCACACGCUUGUCGAUCCCUCCUAGCUUGUAGAUCAGGUGGCCUGUGGUCGUAGACUUGCCGGAGUCGACAUGGCCGAUGACCACAAUGUUGAUGUGAACUUUCUCCUUACCCAUCUUCGAUUAUCUGCACAACCUUUCAAACUUGUGUAAGAUAUCCAGGCAGCACAGAAUCUCGGAAAUACGAAGUUCGAAGUACACAGCAAAGAAAAAUUGUAUCCAGAAAAUAGCUACCUUUCAGUCUCUCUGAUAAAGAUUAGGACGUGAAGACUACCUACUAACAGGGAAGGAAACGACAGCAGGUAUCAACCAUGAGAAACUCCAAGAACCCCAUCUCGCAUUGGGCAGCCGCGCCGGCUGACUGAAUGACAAAGAAGGUGAUCCACAAAAACCCUAAUAAAAGUGCACAAACAUGUUACUUCACACCGAAAGAGGCUCUCAAACAACCAGAUUUUUCAGCAGAAAAGAACCGCAUUGUUAUUGCAUACCUGGAAAACGAGGCAGAGGUUCCGAGCAGCGUAGGAAAAAACGACAGUGGCGACUAAUCUCGCAGGAGAGCUCUGGAGAGUAUGUCACGGGACGACAGAUUAGCGUGCGGCGCUCCCUCUUCAAGGGCUUACGCUGGUGGCUCCGCCCUCGAAUCGUCCAUCGAACGGCCCUGCUUGACAGUCCGCAUGGUUCACGGCGCGGUUAGACGCGCCGUUUGGGAGGCGUGCCUGGAGGCGGGGGCGAGGAAGCAACCCCCUGCCCUAAUGAGGACUCCCAUGCACAAGGGUGGCGGCUUCGUGAGCCCACGUUAUCAUGUUCUAAUUUCGAGGCCCAAACCGGAUUAAAUCUCUGUGGGUAUCUCCGACCAAAAGAAUUUGAUCCUCACUGUAGCUCCUCAGCGGUUCGUAUGCAUGAGUGUCAUGAACCCAAGAAUUUCUCACAAACUUUGCCUUGAGUGUGAUGCUCUUGUUGCCGUCUCGGAGUUAAUCAAGAGCGCAAGCUGUGACCUAGCUUACGUAGACUGCUAUUCAAUUGUGUACAUGCUGCUGAAAAACAAUCAUGUUCUUAAUUUUUAUAGAAAUGAAUAAUUUGCCAAAUUUUUCUGCGGCUACAGAAUUGGUGGUCACGGAACAAGCAGCGUCCAUGCUGAGCAAUGUAUUCAUCUGUGAUUUUUGACUGUGUUAUAUGACGUCCGCAUUCUGAAGCUACAAGCAGGAGUGAGUGUUGGAAUUGGGUAUUCAUGCGCAAAUGGGAAUUGGAUAGUAAGCACGUCUGGAAGCCAAGGGUUUAUCAUGACAGAAGUCUUUGCCGUCCACUGAACUAGUCUCAUGCCAUGUUCGUGAUGCCGGCACCAUAUUAUGGUGCAUGUUUUAUGUUGGUGAGUUUAUGUCACACAUUUUCAUGUAUCUCUAGGGAUGGAGGGAGAGUUGUGAUCGUGCGGUGAGAUAAUGGUGAUGAGCUUUCAGAGGCCGGAUAAUACAAGAGAAAUUGGGCACAGUUGCUCGUUGAGAACGACCUCCGCGAGGGUUUUAUUGAGGUAUCUGUUUUCCCAACCUCUACGUCCGUUUAUGAAAUUGGGCAUGAGUGAAGAUUAGUGGUGCGAGGGACUUCUGUGCUGCAUUUAGAAUUACAUCACGUACCAAAUAUUGUUCAAGUCAUUGUGCGAGACAUUCUUCACGAGUACAGUAAGUCCGUUGGAGACUCCGAGUUUCUUCCCAUCACUUUAGAAGUUCGUUAUGUUUCUUACCUUCAUGGGGCGGCGGAAGCUCCAUGGUCUAUGUGUUUUUUGGAAGUAUCAUGUGCGAUUCUCUGGGAACGCGCGCUACAAUUGAAACGCACACUAUUUUUGGUUGUUUGUUUGUUUGUUUUUCUCUUGCUUUAGAUUCACUUAGAAAUUGCCAAUAACCGAAUUCGCGAAUGCGCCAACUGAGUUAAAGUUCCCCCAGUAGAGGAUCCUGGAGCCUAGCAUCCCAAAUAUAUUUCCCUGUUCUCAGUCCUGAACCAUACCAACUCCAUUGUUAUCGCUACUCUUGUUUUAGCAGCAGGAAGUGGGAAUCGCUUGCUUUGGAGUGCGUAUAAUAAUACAGCAUUGCGGUGGUCAAAAAAUAAAGUACUCUUCUGCACCCUGUCAUUACUAUCUCUACGUAUUCGAUCAAGCUGUUCACGAGCUCGUCGACUAGAUUUGAAGAGUUUAUUGUUCUGGUGCGAGCCACGGUACGAAAUUAUCGCAUUACAAUUACUAAGUGACGGCUUCUACACAACGUAAUUCGGAGGCGGUUUGCAUUGGCACCCUGAAUCAUACUGUGGUGCUAUUAUCCUCAAUUUGCAUCUGAGUGCUGUGUCUGUGCACCAGGGCACGAAACGGUACUUGAGGAGACUUCGUCCAGUGUGUGCUCGGAAUGGCGCCAGAGUUGAGGUUGAGGAGCUUGGAGUGGUUCGCCUUAAGAAAAGAGAAGGGAGAGACAAUGGAGAGAAAUUGCCAGAAGAUCUCGGGCUGAGGUUGGAGAUCAAGGCGAAGGCUGCUGCUUUUAUUAGCAAUGCGCAAUCGGCGAAAGGAGGUGAAGGGCUGCUUGGACAAAUACUCGGUGUGGAUCUCGGGUUGUGAAGACUGGGUUGUCAGUUAGUGUGGGUGGUUAUGAGCCUCGGUCUUCGACUGUAAAAUUUUUUAUACUAUAACAAUUUCGUUUUGCACGAAAUGGCUGUGGUAAUGUCACAGUGCAUCGUUUUCUCCAUGCAUCAAGUCUUUUUUAAUCACCUACUGUCUGCCAACUCAAGCACUACAUUCUGAUACGAGUGUGUGAGUACGGGACCACUUUUUACACUGUGUACUUUGUCGCUGAGCAAGAUUUGUCUCAUAACUAGAAAAGCAGCGGACCUGUUUGAUGCACCUCAUCUCUUAAGCCGGUCGUUUUAUAAUUUUUCUGUGAAUGUAUGGAGAGCCUCCUCUUUUGCAGGCUGUCAUGUGGAAGACGGUUUGUGCAAUUUCAAUCGAGUAAAUUGAAAAUAACGUAGCAGCAGAUUUGAUGUUUGAGAACAAAACCACAAAUCUGUCAUCUCUGCUAACAUCAGCCUUGUAAAUGAAGAAAUGUUGAAGGAACGGGUCGGUUACAAAGGAGUUCGAAAUUCUGCUCAUGUUUUCGACAGUAAUGUUAGGUUGUGCCCCAUAACGGUACUCAUACAUUUGACGUGUUUCUCAUGUACUCGGCAAGUUAAAACUGCGAUGGCAUCUGAUAGUUUGGUGUAGAUCUAAACCAUGACAACAGAGCAUGAGGGAUCAGAUAUACGUUUCAUCUCUAUUUGAUUCGGUUCCUAGUGAUGCACGAUGUCUGCUUCGAGAACGAGGAUUGUGUUCUUGUUUGGCUAAGCUGCGUCACUGCAGAAAGCAGGCGAGUUUGUAUUUAGCAAGAUUUGUGAACAAGGAUAUGUGGAUAAUCUCAAUUCUCUAUACUACCGCAGAAAACUGCAAAUAGGAAAGAAAAGCGGUCAACCUCGAACAUGUCGGAACAUGCGGAACUGUGCAGUACUCAUGGUAAUUGGUUGGAUAUGAUGCAGAGGCAAUAACAGACGGGAACAGAUUGUCUCGCAAGCGACAUGACGCUUAUGCUGCCUUGGUCAAGAUCAUACAUUCUUUUUCACUGCUGGCCUGAUGUUGAGAGAUCCUACUUGAUACUGACAGAACCACGUGACAUAGGAACAUAGCGUCUUUGUUUGCGAGGUUUCAUUUUAAGAUGGUCCAAAGCUCCUGCUGGUUGGUACUAAGGUCUCCUAUGGAUGGGGCAAUGAUGGUUCUGGAUGUGCGUCAUGUGAAGUUUACAGUUGCGUGAUCUUCAAUCAUCGAUGCAUAGACUGUGUUUGACUACCCAAUCAUUCGAAAGUCUGUCCUUUCGAGGCUGUUGAGCACAAACAGAAAUCUUCGGACGAAAGUUUCUGCGCAUCCAAAUAUCGCUUGCUUCUACAUGUGACAAAUUAGAACCUUUGUAUGGAUGGGUUGAGUCAAGCUUUCAAAUGGAGCAGGGUUAAGAAAGUGCUGGUUUUGUAAUUAGUAGGCAGGACUCAGGUGUAAGUCAAGUAUUUGUGUCUUUCUAAUCCUUCAACAACCUCUUGGCGAUAUGACACAAAUGGUGUCUUGUUAAGUAGACUGAAGUACGGAUUAAGUUAUGUUAACGAUGUUGCUGUCAUCCACAGGCGCUGCUGCUGCGGGGCUACUUGUAAUCCACUGGUUCUCGUGCUCGAUUACUCCUCCCCAAACCUCUCGACCUUCAGCGGCUCCCCUGUCAAUGGCCUUCAAUGCCUGUGCUUCCCACCCUCGAAGAUUAUAACGACGAUUGAAUGAUGAUUUUAACAAACCUCAAAGUUGACGACAGCUCAGCGCCUGUUUCGUUUUUUUCUCUCUCUCUUUCUUUCUUUCUUUCUUUCUUUCUUUCUUAUCCUUUUUUUUUUUUUUUUUUUUUUUUUUUUUAAAUGGUGGCUCACUGGGUGUAUAUUGUGAUCAGGAUGCUUAAUCGAUUCUUACAAAUGAUUCACCCGCGAUCUAGUGGGCGUUUCCAUGACUAAGUUGCAAAGCACUCACAAGCCACAUAUCUGCUGAUGGUCGGUGAAGUCAUGGGAAGUUGAAGAUGCAUUCAGUUCUUCCAUCUAUGCGCUUCCAUGAACUUACUCACACCUAUUACAUGACUCUUUACAUAAAAAUACUAUUGAGUACUUCCGGUGUGCUCCGCAUUCUCAUAGUAAGUAUGAAAUGAAGAAACAAUCCGAUUUGCCAAGCGCCCUUCUGCUGUUCGGUGUGGACAGCGAAUUGGUGAUGACUUUGUACAACUCAAAUUGGAAAGAAGGUAAUAUCCGUUCCAAGACUUCGGUUUUAUCCGAACAUGAUUCCAAGCAUUACUCCUUGUGAUGGAAUGCCUCUCACUGUAACAAGAAGCAGCAACAGAAACGCUCCACCUUGAACAUGUCCGAAAAGCCCACGCCAUCAAAACCUAAUUUGGAGCCUCAAGCCCUACUUGUCCUUGCUCAAUGGUGGGUCCUUUCCUUUCGUCAGUUGUUGAUUUGUCUUUUUCUUCUUCUUUUCAAAGUGGUACUGAAGUGACGUGGUCGUUUGGUUUAUUCUUUACUUUUAAGUUAGCUGAUGACGCAGAACAAUACUUUGCUUUCCUCUUUCACCUCCUUUCCUGGUUGGGGCAUCCGUGGAAAAAAUAGUUUGUUAAGAAGCAUGUCCACCGCGUCCUCAGAGCUGUCCAAUCAACGGGUGUGACACAAAUCCGCCAACCUCACACCCAUGUGUGGGAGUUGAACUUGUCAUCCCCAUCCAGGCGAGGACUAUCAUGUCCAGUGGUUUUUUCCCCCACUGCACACCUAAAAUACCAUACAUCACACAUGCUUCGUAAUUUCCUGCCGACCAUUUCCUCACCAGUGUCUGCUUGUCACUGUUGCAUAAACGUGCCGCCCGAUUCCAACCAUCACACACGCACACAUACUCACAUGUAGGGGGAGAGAAAAACUUGUUCAGUACCCAACAACGGGUCAUCCUGACCUCCCAAGCGCCAGCGACCUCACAAUCGUCCAGCUGGUCCCAGACUUGGCCACCAAGCAAGCUCAGCGUUCGGCAUUGACAAGGUCUCAGUUUGUGCCACUGUAGAACCCGUCGCAUGCGUCCCUGCAGCCCAGGUCAGGGUCGUUAGAAAGCAAGUGCUGGGGGCGUCGGAGCGGCGGAGAAUAGUUCUCCUGGGCAUGCAAAUGAGGCAAGCAAUCAAGCUGAAUGUCCACCCAGAUUCCAGCCCAUACCUCCGCCAUCGCCAUCCUGCCACACAGAGAGGGCCACAGAGCUAGAAGCCAGAAACCAGGAGGGGGGAGGGAGGGGAACCUUAUCUCGAUCAUUUAUUUGUAAUGUAUGUAUGUAUGUAUGUUUCUAACUUUAGUUUACUGGAGUUUGGAAACUAGGGCUUGUUAUGUUAUUCUGCUUGAUUUUUAUGUACAGUUAUUUUUCUCUGAAAUCCUAUACCCAGGUACUCAACUUACAACGUGUUGAUUUUUUCCUCUCUAUGUGUAUAUGUAUGUGUUCGUGUAUUUUUUGGAAUACAUAUUCAACCUUAUUAUUGUUUAAAAAGUCUAGUGCAUAGAUUUUGAACUUCGUACUGUUGAUUUGUUUUGUUUUGUUUUUGUUUUUUCUUGGAAGUUGAUAACAGUUCAUGUGUUUUGCCCUUGUAUUGAUAUUUAAGUGGUGAUGGAAAGAGAUAGAGACAUAGAAUAACUAUUUUGAUAAAUUUAACGAAAAAAUAUUGGUUGGGACAAGUGGAGUAGGUGCCACGUUUCAAUGUACUGGAAGAGUUGGAAUUGAAUUGUUGUGCUCUGAUGGACUUGAACACAAUUCACCUCUCCUUGGAAUACAUAUAAUGUUUUUAAAAACAUGAGCAUCAUUUUUUAAGUAUUUUGUCCACAGUUCAAUGUUUUUAUUCCUUAAUUUAUUCUAUUUAGGAAAAAAAAUUGAAUUUUGUUUGAAAGUCCAAACAUGUUUUAUCAUAACGCAUUCAAUAAUACCAAUGACUUUGGCUUUUUUUAAUAUAAUUUUCUUUUCUUUUCUUAUUUUUAAAUUUAGAUUUAACUUGUAGAUGCAUUUGACUUGUGAGAAAUUAUAUAUAUAUAUAUAUAUAUAUAUAUAAUAAAUCCUAUGAUAUGAUCCCUCUUUAGAAUGCAAAAGAUCUUUUGAAGAAAAAGACUAGUAACUUAUUUUUGCUUUAAAAAAGAAAAAUGUAAUCAUGAAGAAUUUAUAUUAACUCCAAAUUGUGCAAUUCAUGUACACAAAACUAAUUGAUUGUGUAUACAACUAAUCAAUUUCAAACAAAAAAGAUAUCACAUCUCAUUAAUAAUGUUGGUUUUUAUUAUAUUCCAUGUAAGUUGUUUAAUUAUAUAUCCCCUAAAUACCUAGUCAUUAGAUGUGUAUUAUUUGAAAUGUAUUAUUUUAGUUUUUCCAAUGUUGUUAAUGUUUUACAUGGCAAGUAUGAGAAUUGGUAUGUGACACAUUCAAGAUUAGGGUGUAAUCCCAUUAUGGACUUAGGUUUGUGUUACGAGAGGGUUUAGGAUCUCACAAUGAUUUUGUGAAAGUAUAUGGUUUGUGGCAUAUGCAAAUGGGAGUUGUGGGUGUGUGGAUUAGUGGCGGCAGAGAUGGUGCAACGUGUUUGGAUAGAUGUUGUGGUGGAUUGUUUGCAUGGAUCUUAUGAAGAUAGUUUGUGGCAAUUGAUGAGCAAUGUAUGAAAUUAAGAAGCUCCAAUAACAAGAUGUUUUGGAUGGACAAGACAAUGGUGUUCAAGUUGUGUUGAAUAUGAAGUUACUUCGGAAGAAACUUGUGAUACAAUUCAAAAGAUUACAUUACCAUCUAAUUAAAGAGAUAGAGUACAAAGAAAUAAGAAACUAUGAGUAUGACAUAAAAUGUUGUAGCCAGAGACUACAAAAGAUAUCAUGUGCUAGAGAUAGUCAGGAUCAUAUCCAUGUCUAAUUACUUCCACAAAGUUCAAAUCCAUAAGUAGAAAGGAGUACUUCCAACUACCAAAAUGAACCUUCUUUAUUAUUCAUAUCCUCUAACUAAUGCUCAAACUAAAUCAUUCAGCAUAGAGUUCUUAUCAUUUCUUAUAAAGAACUAAAAUUUCUAUUACAAUAGAACUAUAGUGCCUCAUUUGCUACAAAUCAAGUCAAUCUCAUUCACUCAACCAAUUAAACUAGUUCCAUAGUCCAAGAAACAAAGAAAUUGUGACAUGUAAGAACAAAAUCCUAUUAGUAAACUCAUGCCAUGUGCCAAAUGUGUUCAAAAUCAAUUUUGGUUAUAUUAAUGAAGUUCUUUGUAGUAGUGGUUAUAUAUUGAAUUAAUUGGUAUACAAAUAAAAACAUAUUGAGUGAAUAUUAUGAUUUUUUUUGGAAUUAGUGGACAAAUUAAAUUACUUACCGUUAUAAUUAUAAUAAUACUAUUAUUGCUAAAAAUAUUGAGUUGUGAAAUGAUCACAAGUAUUUUAAGAUUGCUUAAUGUUGCAAAAAUCAAGAAAAUUAAUGGUGUUUUUGUAAAUUGUAGAUAUUGCAAAUGUAUCAUAUAUCAUUUAGCAUUAAAAUCUAUAACAAAAGAAAAAAAAUCAUUAAAAAUAAUAAUUAUAUCAAUCCAAUUAUCUAAUUCUUUGCACCCAUUUAUAGCAAGUUGUUAAAUUAUGGUUAGAUAAUGGAUAUCAAAGGAUUAUCAGUUACAAUUGUAUUAAUGAUAAUUUGAAUAAGUAAAGAUAUAAAUCUUUUUAUAUUUACUAGCUAAUAUAUUUAAUAAUAUAAAAUACUGUUUUAUUAUAUUUUAAAUUUAAAAAACUAUUCAGUUGUAUUUGUAUUUUUUGAUGUUAAUAUAUAUAUAUAUAUAUAUAUAUAUAUAUAUAUUUCUAGGGCUGAUACUUUUAUUUUUUAUUAUCUAUUUUAUUAUACAUUAAAAUGAAAAAAUUUAGCUUUUUAAAAAUACUUUGAAUUUCUUUCAAUUUUAAAUGCUUCAAAUUCUACUUGUGACUUGCAUUCAUCAUUUUGAAACAAGUAAUAAUCAGUUCACAAUAAUUAUGUUACUUAAUUUAAUUAUGAUUUAUACAUUGUACUAUAAAAUAGAAAGAAAGAAAAAAAAUCAAAAUUAUUUAAAUGUAAAUUAAUAAUUUUAUAGAAUUUUUUACUAAAAUAAUUUUAAAAUGGCUAAAAUAAAUACUUGGAUAAAUUUAUAAAUUUAAUUCAAUACUUAUUGGGUAAUGAUUUAGUUUUCUUUCAUUUGUUUAGAAUAUAUGAAAAUAUAUUUGCCAAUAAUUCAUCAUGUUUACAUCAAUAAAUCAUAAAUAAUUGAGUAUAUAUAUAUAUAUAUAUAUAUAUAUAUAUAAUUUUAAAAAUUCAAAUAUAAGACCUUUUUAAUUUUGAUAAAUUAAAAAUAAAAUAUAUUAGUAUCUUUGCCAUGAAUUACAAAUGAUUCUAUUGUUAUGUAUAUAUUCUCUUUCUUUUCUUUUCUUUUUAUAGUUUUUAUAGUUUAGUUUAGUUUAGUUUUUUUUUUUUAAUCAACAAUUCUUUAUGAGUGGUCAAAUUUUGAUUUAGCAACUAUAAAUUAUACUUUUACAGCUUUUUUGUAGCCAAGGGCACAGAUUUCCAGUAUAUAUAUAUAUAUAUAUAUAUAAUGAAAAUAUAUGUUUUUAUUAUUACUACUAUUUGACUAGUUGAUACAAGUGGUUAUAUAACCAUUUGAGAAGCUAUUAAUACUUGGCAUAUUUAUUCUUAAUAAUAUCAUAUUAUAUUAUUUAAUAAAAAUAUAAAUAUUAUUUUCUUGAUUUUAUGAAAAAAUAUUUGGUUUUCAAAUGUUCACAUUUUGAUGCACUAUGAGCUAAUAAUUAUAAAGUAAAUAUUCUUAUUUUAUGUAUUGUGCUCAUAAUUUGAUCAAAAAUUUGCAUUCAUUCCUAAUUCUAUUAAAUGAUCAAAUACUUAAUGAAUUACUUGAUACAAAAAUAGUACUAAAUAUCAUGUGAGAAAAAAGAGAUUAUUGUGUGUUUAUCAAUACUUCUACACCAUGCUAAGUAUACAAGUGUUUAUCAAAACACAUGCAAUAUCAAUUAUAAAGAAAGAAAAUAAUACAAAUACACAACUUGGAUUUACAUAUGUGUGUAUGUAUGUGUGUGUAUAUAUAUAUAUAUAUAUAUAUAUAUAUAAUGGAAUGUUAAAUAGACCCAAGUUUUUAUUAAAUCAACCUAUCCAUGAUGAAUGUGGUUGGUUUUUAUUGGUUUUUUUAUCUAGUGGUGAAAUUAAUCUAGAGGUCAUUUGUUUUCAUGAUAGUUAGGACAGAUGGAUCAUUUUGGUAAAAGCGUGGGUCUAUUUAACAUUCUCCUAUAUUUAUGCCUACCCAAUUUAUUCCAUAACAUUUAUGCACAACCUAUUUAAUCCAAUGAUAAGAAAAUUCAGAAUAGAAUCGAGAAAGUAAAAGUGACAAAACAUUAAGCACGUGGUAAGAACUCAAAAAGUAAAAGUGGACCAAAAACAUUAAUCGCAUAUCGAGGGGACAUGACAGCUGACACGUGGCGGUGCGGUUUCGCGGGGUGCCUAACUGGGCAGGUGUCGUCCCGACCGCGCGGUUCGCACCGUUUGGAUCGCCGAUCUUGUGGUAGUUAAGCGCGGUUGGCAAUAAAAGGGAUGCCCGUGUGGAAGGGCCUCUACAAGAGGAGUGUUUGUGCAGCGAAAGGAUCCUCCUCCUCCUUCAGCCUCUCGCAGGUUGGAAUUCAGCUGUCCAGGCCCUCGUCCUUCACUUCUCCUCCUCCGCACCCUCUCGCCACCAUCACCGGGUAUGCAUGCUCUUGUUCUACUACUCUUGGGUCUCUUUUCAUCCUUCUUUCCAACACACCCCAAUUCACAGUGUUCUGUUAUUUUGAUCUAGCACCCGGUCAACCACUGGUAGAAGGCUUUUUGGUGAUUCGUGGUGUGAAGGGGGUGCUUGAUGGCUAAUUUCCGUUUCGGAUCCUUCGUUUAGUUUGCAAGGAUUAGCAUCAGAAAUGUUUUGGUACUGAGUUCUAGGGUUUUGAUCUAAUUGCUUAUUGUGUUUUGACUCGUAGUAAGUGACUUGGUGUUUCGAGCUUUUCCUUAAUUUUAAGAAUCUGUGUUCUAAGAGUGACAACCGCUACGAGAAGCGUGUGAUUUAUACCUUAAACUCGAAGAGUUUUUGCAGGUAAUCGAAGAUGGGUAAGGAGAAGGUUCACAUCAACAUUGUGGUCAUCGGCCAUGUCGACUCCGGCAAGUCUACGACCACAGGCCACCUGAUCUACAAGCUGGGAGGGAUCGACAAGCGUGUGAUCGAGCGCUUUGAGAAGGAGGCGGCUGAGAUGAACAAGCGUUCGUUCAAGUACGCGUGGGUGCUGGACAAGCUGAAGGCUGAGCGCGAGCGUGGUAUCACGAUCGAUAUUGCGCUGUGGAAGUUCGAGACCGUGAAGUACUACUGCACUGUGAUCGACGCUCCCGGACAUCGCGAUUUCAUCAAGAACAUGAUUACGGGAACGUCGCAGGCGGACUGCGCAGUGCUGAUCAUCGACUCCACCACCGGAGGAUUCGAGGCUGGUAUCUCCAAGGAUGGGCAGACCCGUGAGCACGCACUGUUGGCUUUCACCUUGGGAGUGAAGCAGAUGAUCUGCUGCUGUAACAAGGUGGGGGGAGUUUGAGAUUGUGUGGAGGCACGUGAUAUGUUGAUGUUUCUUUUUUAUGCAGCGUAAGGGUGUUAGAAAUCGAUUGAGGGAUUGAACAUGUGUUUGGGUGACGAGCGAUGUGGGGUGGAGUGGUUCGGUGGAAUGACAGCCUUGGUGGUGGCAGAUGGACGCGACGACGCCGAAGUAUAGCAAGGCUCGAUUCGAUGAGAUCAGCAAGGAGGUGUCGACGUACCUCAAGAAGGUGGGGUACAACCCGGACAAGAUUCCGUUCGUGCCCAUUUCAGGGUUCGAGGGUGACAACAUGAUCGAGCGAUCGACGAACUUGGAAUGGUACAAGGGUCCGACGCUUCUGGAGGCCCUGGACAACGUGUCAGAGCCGAAGAGGCCAUCUGACAAGCCCCUGCGGUUGCCCCUCCAGGAUGUCUACAAGAUCGGAGGUAUUGGAACUGUGCCAGUGGGACGUGUGGAGACUGGAAUCAUCAAGCCGGGUAUGUUAGUUACCUUCGCACCCACUGGACUGACGACUGAGGUGAAGUCGGUGGAGAUGCACCACGAGUCGUUGUUGGAGGCGCACCCCGGAGACAACGUCGGGUUCAAUGUGAAGAACGUGGCUGUGAAGGACCUGAAGAGAGGAUACGUGGCUUCGGACUCGAAGAACGAUCCUGCAAAGGAGGCCGCCAACUUCACUGCCCAGGUUAUCAUCAUGAACCACCCGGGACAGAUCGGAAACGGUUACGCGCCGGUGCUGGACUGUCACACUUCUCACAUUGCCGUGAAGUUUGCCGAGAUCUUGACGAAGGUGGACAGGCGAUCGGGUAAGGAGCUGGAGAAGGAGCCCAAGUUUUUGAAGAACGGAGACGCAGGAUUCGUGAAGAUGGUACCGACAAAGGCAAUGACUGUGGAGACUUUUGCACAGUACCCACCAUUGGGACGCUUCGCGGUUAGGGACAUGAGGCAGACGGUGGCUGUGGGUGUUAUCAAGGCGGUAGAGAAGAAAGAACCGUCUGGAGCGAAGGUUACUAAGGCCGCUGCCAAGAAGAAGUGAAUAUUGCUGGAGACGAGCGGGGUGAAGCAGUUAGGGGCUGACCGGGUCAGGGUUGGGUUUGGUGUUGCGGCAUUGUUUUGGAGGGUGCGGUUAUUGUUUUGCCUGUGUGCUUGUUCAAUAUACUUGCUGCAGGCGAGGGAGAAGCAGAGGCAGACUUGGGUACUGGACAGAAGAUGGCAGGGCUCGUCGGAUCCGCGACAGUGAAUGUUAUAUUUAUACGUGAAUAAAGUACUUUAUGUGGCCUCGACAUUGGGGUGGACAUAAAGCUAGUGAUGGUGUCUUUGGAAAGGACGUUGUGCUGGUGGUAUGGUUAGUGUUAUAUGUAUGUGAGGGUGCAACGAAGCCAUUACGUCAAGGAGAAAUUUUGAAUUCUCGUCUGAGCUGUUUAAGUGCACUUCACAUGGAUUUGGGAAGGGCAACAAGUUAUUCGGAUUACAUAAUGUGAACUGGAAUUUCUAGUUUUGCACUUUAUAACAAGUGUUACAAAGCAUGUUGAAUUGAUGUGUAUUAGAAUAUCCAUUCUUUGGAUUAUUUUAUAAUUCUUGCUGCAAUGCCUUAACAAUGUGUCAAUAUAGGUGAUGAGUUGAUACCAUUUGUUACCGGAACGUGGCGUCGCUUUGAACAUUCAGAAGAAUUUUGGUUGCUGGUAAUGUGGCUCAGAACCUGCGAGAUAAUAUUUGGAUUUACUUUCCGGUUGAAUGCGUGCAAACAUGUUGCAUAAGUAAUGUUUGUAGUUAUCAUCUUAUGUACGGACCCAUCGUUUUGUGAUAAGUAGCAUAUUAUAUACAAUCUGUCUUGUCAUUUUAUCUGAAGAUGCAACAAUCCUUGUCAAUCUAAAAGCACUCAGCUUAUAUUAAUAUCAAUUUUCAGUUUACAGACAUUGCAUAGAAUGAAAAUUUCAUUUCAAGAGGAGCUCAAUUUCCUCACAUUCUGUUUACUGUUUGAGAUAUGGAGGAUUCAAUGCAAUGGGAAAAGCCCAGCAAUGCAUUAUUCAUCAAUAGUGGCUUAAUUUGUAAGCAGUCUGCUGACACAGAUAUCAACAGUGGAGAAAUUAGAUGUGAACGCAGCUACGUUUUAUAUUUUUUUGUCUUAUGUACAGAUAAGAAUUGAAUCUGCUACUUCGCCCUCAUGACACAUCAUUGGCAUAAGAGAUGUACUAUCAUUCUAAAACCUUUCUCUAGUUAUUACAUUCCACAUCUGGUUAAAUCCCUGCAACUCCUCACUGACAAUCGUUACCUAGAAUAGAAAGGACACAAUUCUGUUGUGUCUCUAUCAGUCACAGGGAUCAGGGUAGUAAUUAUAGGAGGUUGCGACUGAUCCCUGGCACAUUUUAGUAGCCCAAAAUACUCUUUGGGAGUUUCACUAAAGCUUCAACAUCUGCAGGUUCACCUGAAAACUUCCGAGCAAAUAAAAAGCAGGGUGAACUAGGUCGUCCGUUGUAUAUACACGUUUGCAUGGUGUGAUUUAAGUCGUCAGACGAGUCCAUAUAUUGCCCAUCCCUGUUUUCUGUCCUGUUCUGAAUCUUCCGGAACAGCUCGAGGUUUAUAUGCGAGACAUUGUGCUUCAAAGGGGAGUCCCCGUGUUUGGGAUUGGACCAGUCUGCGUAAGUGACUGACCGAUUGGCGAUUCCCUGCACGCGCUCCAAGUGCACAAAUUAAUCAUGCUCCUCAUCUGCCUUGAUGUUAAAAUUAUGAAUCAAGACAUGUAAAUUCCAAAUUUCUUAUUGAACGAAUUACUACACAUUGGUCUACUCCUAUGAAAUUUUUUGUAGAAAAAAUUGAUUGUACACACUAACCCAGAAAGAUUUGCACCAGCGUAGGUCAAAUUCCUUCUGGUGACUUGAGCCUGAUAUAAACCUCCAGGCCAUGUUGAGUUUGCUAAUUUUGAUUGUUUACACAAUGCACACCCAAUUAUAAAUUGACAGUUAUUCAUGUAGAAAGUGAUCAGAAAGAGCCAAGAGAUAGAUCGAGGGCUCCCCACUAAGACAUUGUGGCAAUCAAGCAGUCGCCUUGAAAGCAAAUUCUAAUUCCACGCGGUAUAACCUUUGCGAAGUACCAAACUCGUCACCACAUGCUUCCCAAAGCAAUGUUGCCGCUACGUACGGUAAAUUCCUUCAGUUUAGCAUACGAAUCUAGCAAUCUCUAAGGCGAAAGAGAUAUCAACUGAAAGCAACGUCAUCGCCGACAUAUAAACCUCAUGACAUUCGCAACUGCUGACUCAUCCAGCACUGAAGUUAUGUGCUGGAUUGUACUUAUGAUAUUUAGGGCUAUAUCUGGAAGUGCAAGCUACUACUAGGACAAUUUUGUCACAUGAAGUUCUGAUGCUCAAGUGCAGAACCAUGUUAGGACGAAUCAUGUAAUUCGAGCACCAUAUCUACAAGAACACACCAUUCUCCUGAAAGUAAUUCCAACGUGAAUGCGGCUUCUAUUUACUACGAUCUGUGGCUAUAUCCAGACUUAACCCAAUCCCCACUUACUACACUCUGACAAAUUCAAGUACUUCUCUCAUCACAUCGCGUGGACUCUGUUCCCCUUCUUAUUGCAGACUCGGACUUUCAUUCAUAUUGAUCCUUUAUCAUUAACUGAAAUGAAUUAGACAUGAAGUGGUUGGAAGCAAUUCAGAGACUGUAAAAAAUACAUCAAAUCACAGCAUGAGGCAUUCAGAUUUGUAAUUCCCUCACCUUGGGAUCCAAGAUAUGGAGCAGAGUCUGUACAUACUCCUCAUCAAGGACGCAGUCGUCACGGCAAUCGGCUUUGAAUUUGCGGUAAAAUGUGACAUCACCGACCACCAUUCCGGCAUGGCGGCGGUGCAUGGACACCCAUAGCUCACCCUUGUGAAGCUGCUCCAAUUUGAACAGGGGCUCCGUGUGCCACCGCUUGAACCUACAACAAUUCAAUCAAGGCAAAAACUCAGUUACGUGGAGAGAUCAGUAAAAUCAAACUCCAAUGCAUUCUAAAUGAGAUUCUUUCAAGCUGAGGCUUAUGGAAUGAUCGGAUCAAAGAGAUCAACCUCUUCAGUGGAGAAUAGGAUUCGACGAAGCUCGUGGUGGAGUUCAUGAAAUAGUCGUAAACGUAAGGAAAGCUCCGAACUGGCAUGCACGCCUCAGAGACUAGCAUGAACCACAUAUUAGCUCUGCCUGUGUCCAACAAGGCAAAUGCCAGCAAUCUGCGGACAACGUCUACAAGAGUAAUAUCGAAGCGCUUUACUUCCUUGGUUGAAAUGGAUCUGUUGUGGAAGACGGACGAGUUCGGAAACUGGUUAACCCACCAGCUCGCGUGAGUAUAUAUAGAGUAGGAAUCAUUAUCCGCUCCCGCAAAGAAUCGCUCCCACAGAGGCUCAAGUGGGAUCUCCUUCCGAAGGAUGAAUAGGAAUGCAAUUUUGGGUUUUCCAUCUGGUAGAGGAUUGGUCGCAGCGUCUUGAGCAGCAUGGAGAAGCUCCGAAUCCUCAACCGAUACUUUGAAAUACUUGUCGACAUCUAAAUCAUGAGUGCUGCUUCCUGGUUUCACGUAAUCUUUGCAGGGGAGGUAAGAAUUGGGAAACGUCGAUUCUGGUAACCUAGAAGUGGGGUCAGUCGACACAACCCUGGGGUGAGUACAAUUUUGACAAUCCGCUGAGGCUUGUGGGGAGAGCCGACCGAUAGUGAAUUCGGCGGGAAUGGGACUCGGCUGCGAGUCGAUCAAGAACUUGAAAAACAUGAAGGAGCCUAGUAUUAGGACCACAAUGCCCCCCCGGGUGAGCCACACAUCUUGCUGGGACUUCAGAAACCCCAGACGGCCGGAGUUUGAUGGACUAAGCACGUUUGUCAUCGUCGACGAAUACACUCCUCGUCUCGGGAGGAUCUGGACGGGCAAAAUUUCUCUAGACACUACGCAUCUUACACUUCAUAUGAAGCUAGAAAAAGUUCCUGCAUCGACAAAAACAUAUAAAGAAGUAGGCAGCCUCACAAUUUAUUCUCCUCCCAGAACGGACUCAACUGAGUGAAAUUCCAUGAAGACUCACGAUACAACCCAUUCAUUGUCCGAGCUUCGAAGAAGUAGAAAGGUCCUGGCCCUCGUUUUUUUACGCAGGCGAAGGGCAAAAUUCAGAGAAAGAUAGGAGGGCAACAAGAAUUAGAGGAACGAAGAGGAAAACAUCGCUCGAAAGUAGUACUUCCAGUAGUCAUAUGAUUUCAGAUCGCAUCAGAAAGUGAUCACAAACUGGGUUGAUAGCUUGGCCAGUUGUAAUGCUGACAAUCAAACAGAUUUGAAUUGAAGAGUGUCAGUCACUCCGACUACAUGGACUGCGUUUGCCGCACCCUACCGCUUGUCAACGCAAGCAGUCCUCUACAGCUCAUUUUUGCAAAGCUCAUCCUGGAAACAAUCCAACCACUUGAUAUAACCUACGCUUAAGAGACAGGGAUCCAGAUACCGCGUUACAUCGAAAAAGGGUAGGAAUAUAAAUCUCAUUUACAACAGUGACUAGCACUGAUUGCAGACCAAGGCGACUUCGACCACAAGCCUUUGUCCAGUGCACCAACAAAGUGUCCCGUGACAUGUACAGACUGGACGGGUUCUCACAGGAUGAUACGGAAAACAGCUUCCUCAGCCUCCCUCAGAUGAGCCACCUUCAGAAGUGAAGUGAUUUGCGUAAUCUAGGAAAUGCUCCAUGCUUGAGAGAAAGUUCUCAUUAUGAUCCCAGAAAGAAUUUCUUUUGAAAAAUUCGUGUGACAAAUGGCGUACUACUCAGUUGACCGUCAAAAGCCACGCAGAUGACUGCCAAAUCAUUACCACACGAAUUGAAAACUCUCAAACGAGCGGUGUUGCAGGCAGUUGCAGAACACCACGGGCUGUGGGCACCCACCAGCUCGAUGAUCACACUGCAUCGACCAGACACUAGCUCUACGGACAAAAGAAAACCCAGACCUCCUGGUGCACCUCGAACGACACAAGCCAAAGUCAGGAUUCUCCCUCAAUAAUUCUUCCUUCCAUUAGCUUUAGAAGGCCACGACCAAGACAGGCAGACACGAGAAGGGCUAUCGUGGCGGUAAUAAAACCAAAAGUGUCUGGUGCCGAAGGAAAAAAACAAAACUCUUUGAGAGUGAUGACGUGAGCUGAUGCAUCUAAACAUUUGCACUCUACAUCUGCGGUCCAAAAAGCAGCAGUCAUUCUUUCCCCGUGUGCAUGGGACGCUGACCUAAAUAUAUAAAAAAUAAAAAACCACGGCUUGCAGGUUAUCGGUCCUUUACGCAUUGUUUGGCUCAUGUCCCACCCGCUUUGUUCUCUCGUCCCCAGCUGCGACGUCAUCAACCUAGUAGUGGACAGACCCUGUGGUGACCCAGUCCCAGCGAUGACCAGCUCAUGGUGAGCGGCCAAGUCAAGGUGAGUGUGCCUAUGUGUGCCUUAAAAAUACGGUGAUUAGAACUGACUUGACUCCUGCCCUCGGCCUCAAACUGCGAGGCACUUGUCACUAGGCAUCCUCAAACUCACCACCAUUGUCCUGUUCUUGUCCUACACACCCACACACUCACUCACUCACACACCCACACACUCACUCACACACCCACACACACACUCACCCCCACAAACACACACAUACACAUAUACACUGGGUGUUGUGGAUGGUCAGCUGUAGACUCACGGAUCCAACUUCAUAGCGAUCUAGGCGCAGCAUUACCUAAGGUGGGUACUCUUCUGCUUCUUCGACGCAAGAUGAGGAUGCAGAUCUGAGCACUGAGGCGGCGAUUGAAACGAGACGUUGUGGAGAAACGCACAACGGCGAAGCUUGUGCUUGCAAAGGCAACAGGGCUGUGGCGGUGGCACCAGGAGCUGCGUGUUUGUGGUCUGCAGACGAAUGUGAUGCUUUCUUACAUGGGUGGUUUUGUAUAGACCUUGUGGUUGAGUGCGUAAAAUAUACUAAACAAAUCAACAACAUGCAAUGUCUCUAUGACUGUGUGUGGAAAUGUAUGUGCAUAUAUAUAUAUAUAUAUAUAUACACACAUGGUGAGUAGAAUUUUUUACCAGUGUUUACUUUUAAUACUUCUAACAAAAGAGUUGGAAGAUUUAUUUUUAUUUUUUUGGAGCAGUUUAGUGCUGCAAUGAUCUUGAUGAAUAUAACCUGAUGCACUGUAAAGUGCAACUGCAGUUUAUGCCACUCAAAUAAGCAAAAAAUAGAAACAGAAAUAAAUAAACAAACAAACAAAAAGGUAUUACGUUUUGUGUAAACUAAUUGAAUGUUUAAGAACAAUAUUAGUUUAAAGCACAGCACUCCAUAAAUAAAUAUCACAUAAAAUUAAUACAGUAAGGAAUAAUAUAAUUAUCUGAAAAAUGUAUAUUUCUUGAUACCCAACAAAAGAAUAGUGUAGAUCAAAUUGUUUUUAGUUUAUUAAACUUUUUAGAACACAUUUUAUGCUAAAUAAGAACAUUUUUAUCUUUGUAUGUAUGUAUGCAUGCAAUAUAUUUUACAUGAGAAAUGUCAAUACUAACGAUUAAUCAAUAAACUUUUAAAAAUUAUUGUUUAAUUAAAGUAGGAUACUUUUGUCAUUUUCAAUGCCCAUUGUUGUUUCAUAAAGCAAAUUGUGGUUGGACAAUCUUCAUCCCUUACAGUGUGAUUUUGUAAAUAAUAUAAGAUGCAUCUCAAAUGCACCACUAAGAUUAGCUAAUAAAUAAAACUAAAAUAUUCUUUUGAUUUUGCAUUACUUUGCUUUGGUUGAAUCAAACAAUUCUCAAUUCCAAUUCUUGGACUUGUUUGCUUGACAUUAUAUGGAUGUUUAUCGCUCAAUUACAAAACCCAAUAUUUUAUUUAUUUUACGUGAAUGGUUCAAAAUGAUUCCACACGGGCUACUGAUUAGCUCUCAAAGAAGCAAAGACUCCUUUUGCAGGACCUGUUGCAUUGUUUACUCUAAUAAAGGUGGUUAAUGAACAAUAUUUUCUACCAAAUUUGUGAAAAAUAAUAAUUGAAAGAGGUUAUUUUAAUAUGUAUAAAUUAUUGGCUUCACCAACCUUCUAAAUAUUUGUUUAAAUCCACAAAAAAAUGAAAUCGUUGUAGGCAUCUAUAAUGAUUUGCAUAUAGAAAUUUGAUGCGAUUGUAGAAUGAGAUGAGAUUCUCUCAAGAGUGAAACCGUAUGGAAAUUGUGAUAGUUUCAGGUUUAAAUAUUUUUAUGAUAUUGUAAGAACACAGGGCGUCGAAAUUGCUUGAAACCAGUCAUGUUCAAACUUAGUAGAGGACAAUGGUAUUAACUCCUUUGAUUCUCCAAUUUAAAGCAUUUGUUUCUGUUAAAAUUUGAAUGCUUCAAAGAUAGAUUUUCAUACACUUUAGGCCUACCAUCCAAAAACAACUAUAAUUCUAAUAAAUAACUAAACACAGAUAAACAGAGAAAUCAAUUUGAAAUCAAAAUCAAAUUUUCUAAACAAAAUUUUAUUUGUGUAAUGAGAAGAUACUAGAAUGAAACAUUUAUGGAGCGUUUAGAAUGGUACGCUGUGAUUCGUUAAUAAAGGAGCAAGUUGAUUCUGUUCAGUAUAUAAAAGUACACUACAGUAAAUAAAUAAACUAUCUCAUUCCCUCUAUAUUUGAUUAUUUAUUUAUAGUUAUGCAUCUGUGCGUAUAUAAAUAUAUAUAUAUAUAUAUAUAUAUAACUAUUCUUUGAGUGGCUUUGAAUCAUUUGAAGAAAAAUUUAGUCUCUGCAUGGUAUACUUUAUAGAUACAUAUAUAUAUAUAUAUAUAUAUAUAUACAUACUUGCAUGGAUGCAUGCAGAAUCUCCUGUAAAUUUGAUUUAAUAAAAAAUUAAAUCUUCAAAUAUCUUGAAUUAAAUUUUGUACGUUGUAUUUUCUCUACGAAUUAAAGUCACUCACAUAUUAUGAUUUUAUAUCCAAUUUUUUAAAUAUUGUGAGUUGUUACCAUAUUAUAUUAAUAUCAAAACCUGCACACAAUUCAAGUCAUCUAUUUUAAAUUUACAUUCACAUUCAAAAUACAGGUUGCACUGUUUCUUUGUAUUGACAUGGUUUUGUAUUAUAUUUCGUUCAUUAUUCUUGGUACCAUAUUUAUUUUCUUAGUCGUCCUUGAAACCGUAACCUUCAAAUAAGUUACUUUAUUUAGUAUUACAUCAUCGAUUUUCGCUUUUAGAUGGGGUUAAGAUCCAAAAGCCCACUUUAAAAGAUCCUGGUAUUAAAAUCUUGUGAAGAUCUGUUUCUUAGUGAAGAAAUUAUCCUGAAAAAAAGAUCUGGUCUUUGAAGUAAUAAAAUGUGAGAAUAGGCAAUCAAGUGGGUGGAAGAUAAACUAUUUUGAUUCAAAAAUCUUUCACAUUCUAUCUCAAUUUUAAGAAGUUUGAUGCUGUAAAUUCUUUUGAAGAUUUUGAGUGAUAAUAUGAAGCAGUCUUUCACAAAGCAUCUUAACUUUUUGUGGAUUACCACCUCCUGAAGUGGAACUAUGUGUGCAAAACUAGUCAUGCUAUGUGAGAGGAAUACAAAUUUCGCCUCAUCUCUUCCAUUUGUUACCUCCUGCUAGAUUUCCUUAAUAAAAAACAAGUUUAAAUAAAGAUAUUUUCGAUAUCAACAAUUUCAAACUUAGAAUACUGCUCUCCUAGACAUAGAGACAACGUAUAUAAACAGUUUUUAUUUACGUUCUUUAAAUAAUAUUCAUUUGUUCUGCUUCCAAAUCCCUCAGAAAGAACCCUCUCCCAUCUUACCAACUUCUUUCCUUAAAUGUUAGGCCACCGUUCAGGCCACUUUUUCGGAGCUCCUUGCGCCAUGAAUUACUCAUACGGCUUGUUGUAAAAUUGUGAAACAACUAGUUCUAGAUAGUUCUGGGUAAGUGGUCACAGUUUUGCAAUUGUACCCUAUUCUACUUAAGCCCCAGAACCUGUGCAACGGUAACAGAUUUGACAUGUCUCCUCAGAAUUAGUCUGUUUUGAAGCAUCCAAUAACUGUUAACGUAUGAUCAUAGUAGCCUUCCAAUCAAACAACACCUUUGCAAACGUUACCAAUCACACCUUCCCAUUCAGGUUUCAUAUGAUAUUUACAGGAUUCACCACGGGUAUUCAACCCACCAUUUCACAUCUAGAGCCUACAACUUUCAUUGCUAGAACGUUUUGUCUGAAUUUUAAUCCAAUUUGAAGACAUGCCGCAAAAAUACCCAAAAGUUCCACCUUCGUUGUGGGGUAUCGACAUGCCCUUAGUGGUCACGUAUCUUACAUUGACCAAACCUUUGCAUUCCCCACUUCCACAAACAGGGUACACAGAACAGUCCGAUGACUAAAAGUAGGAAAAAUAUAAGAUAGUUAACCCAUCCAUUCACAGAUCCUAAGAUUUUAAAUUCACAAGUACUACAUACACUAUCAUGGCCUACCAAUAGGCGUAACAUGCGAAGGUUACCACUGUAAACGAAAGAGGAGCCACUUCAGAAAACCUUUUAAUCAGUCACCACCGACUCUGGAUGCUAAUUAUUGCUCGAGGCAAAAAUUCAGUACACAAGAACUCAUCACACAGAACAUACAGCCUGCAAACUGAAACUCAUCCGCAAGUGUGACGGCCAUGAGGUAAGUCACUGAGAAUAUAGGGAAACACAACACACGCACACACACAUGAACACAAACAUGGGUGGCAAUUUCAUGGACUCUGUUCAGGUAAAAUAUCCAUAGCGUAAUCAGCCGUUUAAAAGAGCUCCUCAAAGCAUUGGUUGCCUCAGUACAAAUCACCUAUUUCUUAACUCCACUGCGCCACAGCAGAAAAUAUGAGCGCUCCGCGUUCCCAUUUAGCGGUACUGGAACACGGAACACAGUCGGGCAACAUCAACGCAUUGAAAUCAAAUAAUUAAAACGCCAAAAGAGUGCACGAUCUCACCGAAAAAUCGUUGUGUUCUGCAAACCCGCGAUAGAAAAUAACUCGUUCAAGAAAAACUGAACAAAAAGUAAUACCUUCACGAAUCCAAUGUCCUUGGAGUAGAUACGGAAGCACUGACGGCAAGUGUUGAUGCCGUACUUGCGAAUCAUUCCGCAUGAGUUCCCGCACACCCGGCUGCACACACAAAGGAAUCCCGCAAACUGUAUGAGUUUUCGCAGCAUGAUGUAAUUCACACUGCUAUCGACUCCAUCAGACAGUGCCCAAAGCGCGGACUUCUGACCGAUGAACGGGAUCAUUACAACGAGGAAAAAACAACUCAGUCACUCUCAAUAGUGUAUUUCUUUACAACCCACAAAUGGUUAUCGAGUCCAGUUGUAAAAUACCGAGCGAGAAUAUAAAAAGGUAUUGCACUUGGGCUUCACUACUUAGAAUGUCAUCAUGUAACCGGAUGCUCUCAAGGCAAUCAGAUACCACUGCACCAUGUAGGAGAGGCCAAAAAAGCAAUGCUACUUGGGCAACUAACCCUACAGUCUCAACCUAGAAUCCACCACAUCAUCAUCUUCACACAGUACUUUAGACGAGAGGCUGCGUACAUACAGGAAAUCGCCACACUAUACUGAGAUUAAUUAGCAACAGACUGCACUCGAACUCGCAGUUCAUACACGAAACCUAAACAAAAACAAGAAACAUCAUGCAACAACCAUCAACAACAGGGUUUCAACAUCUACAGCGCGACGGCAGACCACCUGCCUAUCACUAGAACAUAAUAGUCUUGAUGAAUCCUGCACUAAUCGAAUCCAACUGGACUUUACAAAAUCUUCACAAGCGCGACUAAACAUUGCAGGUAGCCCAUGAGGGCCGGCGGGCGCUGGAACGCAUCUAGACCAGUCUAAGGAUAAGAACGUCAAUCGUAUAAACAGCUGCGACUGCAAGCCCAGCUGAGGAGGUUGCACUGCGCCGUCAGCACUAACAUCGAAGCCGAUUACAAAAAACCGAAACCCUAAUUACCCGACCCCAGAAUCACGAAGCGCGGAUCUUAUUCAAAGCAGGCAUGCAGGACACCAAAGGGAAAACGAAAGAAGGACUGAAACCGUUACCAGGUGCGGGAGCCAGGGCCGUAGCCCUUAGGGUGCGAGUUCCACACCGCCUCGUGACCCAUGCUGGCAGAUGAUGCAAGCAGCGACAACAACAGAUGCGACGAAGCACAAGAGGCGAGGGCGAGGGCGACUAAGGCGCAAGGGGAGAGCGAGAGUGGGAGAGGAGGACCGAUGGUGCGUGCUCCUCGUUAUGGCCACCCUGCGAGAGUUAUGGCCAGCCUUGGAAUUAGGGCUAGGGUUACGAGAUGGACCAGUCCACUCUGGCGGUCCACUCUGGCGGUCCACUCUGGCAGUCCAAGCUGUCCGACGUUACAUGCCCUGCUGGCAUCUGCGAAUACGUCACCAUUUCGGGUUACUGCAAUGUAUGUGUGUACACAACGAUGAAGAAACAAACCAAAUAUAAUCAUUAAAAAGCAGUAAAUGUGAGCAAAGGUGUAUAUAUUGGAAAAGUCGAGUUGCAUUUGUUGUUUUGAUUUUUAUGUUUAAUACACAUAUGGUGCUCAUAGUUACAUUUUAAUAUAUAUAUAUAUAUAUAUAUAUAUAUAUAAUAAAAAAUUAAGUAUACAUCCAAAAAAAUCUAUGAAAAUAUAUAAUUUUGUAUAUUAUUUCACUUUUAACUACUAUAAAAAUAAUAAUGAAACAUUCUAUAUUGAAAUGGGUUUAAAAUAGUACUUCUUAUUCGCCAAUAUUGGUGAGUAUUCCAAGAAAGUUAUUUAUUGAAAGACAAUAUAUUACUAGCGGAUAAUAAUAAAAAUAAUCAACUCUUAAAAUGUAAUUAUAUAUAUAUAUAUAUAUAUAUAUAUAUAUAUAUAGAGAGAGAGAGAGAGAGAGAGAGAGAGAGAGAGAAAAAAAAAAAACUUCUUACUCUUCAAAAUAUCUAUUUUUGUAAUUCUAGUUAGUUCUCAAUUUUUUCUUCAAAUACAAUAUAAUAAGUAUUGAAUAUAGUAUUUUUACUUGAGUAGCUUGCAAAUACAUAAUUAAGAACAAUCUCAAUAAUCUAUCAAGUACAAUAAUUAAUUUGUCUAAACAAUUUAGUACUUAUAAAAACUCAACUAUCAUGAACAAAAACCAAAUUCUUAUACAUAUCUCAAUAUUUUAUUUCAAGUGAUUGCACAUCUUACUAAAAAUAUGGUCUAAAAUGCUAUUUAUGAUAAUGACCAUAAUACGUUUUAUUGGAUUAAUAUGCCAAAACAAAGAAUCUAUCAUCUAUCCAAGAAGUUAUUUGUAAAAAACCAACGUUUUAUUUGGUACAAGUUAAAAUAAAAACCGUUAUUUUACUUUUUAAUAGAAUAAAAUUAAAGACAUCAAUUUUAAAUAUUUUGCAACUGUCAUACAAGAAAUUCAUUGAUAUUUAUAUUGUAAUAAGGAGAUAUUGUUAUCAACUAAAAGUUCACCAAAAUUUGCUAAAUAUUAGUAUAUUGUUUAAGAAUAUAAGAUAACUAGUCAUAUCAAUAAAUAUUUUAUUAAAACUAUGAUUUUUUUUUACAAGAUUAAAAAUGACUAAAAAUAACUUGAAGGAAGAAAAAAGAAACACACUCUUCUAAUCCUAUCUUAAUAUGUAAAUUUUUAAAAUUUUGAUUUAGAACUUCAUACUUCCAAAUUGAAUUCGAAAAUUUAAUCAAUAGGAAAUAAAUUCAAAACCUCACCUUUUCACACAUUGGUUACACAUCAAGAUUUGGAGAGCCUGAAGUUCUAAACCCUUCAGCUGCUGUAGUUCUAUCUUGUUCUCUCAACCUCGUAUUUGGAAAAAUAUGGCAGCUCUCCUAGUGUUCGAUGAAUGUUGCAUAGUUUUCAAAAAUAUUCCGUCUAAUCCUCAAAGGUGCUGCAUCCAACAUAUAUCAGCUUUUGAAGUUUUAAUUCAAAAUUCUCAACACAAUAAGUUCUAGUACAGGUUAUCCAAGGAAAAGUGUUAACUUUCCUUCACCACCUAGUGCUUGCAGUUAACAAGGGAAGUUUUGAAAGAAUUCUUCCUACUUCUUCCUUAAAAUUCUGCACAAAAAGACACCCCUCAUUCUGAUAAUCCCCUGAUAGAUUAUGACCAGAUGAGUCGCUCGAAAAUACAGAGCUUGAUUCGCAAUUCAACCUUAAAUAUUUAAGUCCAUAUAAGUUCUUUGCUUUAAUUGGGUAACUCAUGUAUUGUCGAGAUAGUGGGUGACCCUGCCAGUGCUGCGAGGAGGUCCGAAACAAUUUUAGGUGAUUCUUGGCAGUGCAGGUGACAUGAGACUCGUACGGAAUACAACACGAUUCCUAAGUAGUGUUACAAAUCAUUGCCCCAAGGAUACAGGUCGCCAGGAGGACCCUCGGUCCAGUUUAGGAACGAUUGGCCUGGUUGUAAGUAAAUACUAGGAUCGUGAGGCAACUUUCGAGCCAGUCCGUUCAGGAUCUGGUGGAAUGCAUCGCCAGGUUUUGCAGGUCGAGGGAAAAGCAUGGCUUGCUUCAUGGCUGGGUUAGCCAGUAGUCUCUGCUUCUCAAGCACCUCCUCAUGAUUAAUAGUACACAAUAUUUUGUCCAGUAUAGGAACAUCUUUCUCUUCCACAAACACCCCAAUCUUCUCCCAUGGUAUGGCAUCAGCGAAAGGAAGCACUAUGUCGUCUGCAAUAAUGACAGGAAUGCAACCAAAAAUCACCCCUUCAACAAGCCGGGGACUCCAGGGAGCCCAACCAAGUGGACACAAGCAAAAAAUUGCGCGUUGCAUGUCUUCAUAGUAAGUUGCUGGAUGCUCUGUCGAGAUGUCGAACAAUGGGUUAUCUUUGAAAUUUUCCCAGAUAGCUGCUCUUGCGCCUCUGCAAAGAAUCAUCCAAUGAAGAACUCAGUAUGUCUAACAAACCAAGAGGAAGCAAAAGAAUAAAUACACAAAAGAUGAAUAAAAACUAGCUUGCAUGCAUGUCGGGAGAGAGUAGACUGAUACUUCAGUAACCACAUUGAAAGUUUUGGUCAUGUCUCUUUAGCACACAUGAACACAACCCAAGAAAACCUUCUUUUAGAUUAUAGAACGAAAAAGCAUACUAAUAAAUAAAUAAACAAAUAAUACUACAUAUAAAAAUAGUAAGUAGUCGUAAAAACCUUACCGAGCAUAAUAACCACCUUCAGGAUCGUUGCCAGGGUCAUAAAAUAAACCUCUGAAAUAUGCAAAAAUAGAGCGUGGGGUGCUUGGCGGAUUCAGCCGGGUUUGCAUCCUUUCAGGUGGAGCAUACGGAGGGAUAACAAUUGAAUCUUCCUUGAGACAAACGUGAUGAUUCUGGCCAAACGUUUGAAUUAACGUUGCUCGCUUCAACAGUGGGAGAAUACCCCUCUCAAUGGCCUUUUCUUCCUGUAUCAGAAAAAAUGCGCAAGUUUAUUGUAAUAUAAAAAUGGUUUAAAAGUAAGCCUCAUUCUGUUACUUCCGAUUGUCACUAGAAAGAAGGAAAUAGAUGUUUUCACGAGUCAGUGGAAGCACAUCCCUCUUUGAUCAUCUGUGCCUUCUAGGAUUCGUGCAUAAUCCUACGGGUGCAGGACGUUAACUGUAAUCACAACGAAGGCACAAAAAGACAAAAUUGCGUAUGAAAGUGAAAUUUCUGAAUACCUGGUAAUGAAAGCAAGCAGCGAAAUCAUGUGGUACAACAAAAAAAUGGUCUGCUCCAUCUGUCCUGUUCCAGUACGGCCAGUGGCUAGAAAUGUAGCUGAUAGCACUUCUCAUAACGCGGGGUGACUUGAAAGGCAAAGGAAGCCCAUUUGGAGUCAAAUCACAUGUUGUGUACACAGGAGUGUAAAACCAGUCGGCCUCUUCAGGAUUCAACGUCCGGACAGGGCUUUCCGUCAAAAAGUCGUGAAGAUACUCCUCCACAGCGAACAUGUGUGUAAGACAGCGAGGGUCCUUUUUCAACCAAUCAGUGUUAUAUUUACUGUAGGACAACAAAGUUCAACCAUCGCUAGGUUAGAUACACUCCAGUAUUCUAUAUCUUAUGAAGCAACCCUCCCAAAGACAUCGUGUCAUAUCAAACAGUAAAAAGAGCGUCACAGUAACGUAAAAACCUUAAUAGAAUUCAGAAUACCAGAGCGAAAAGAAUUGGAUAUGAUUUCAUCUCUUAGAUGGUGCUCGUAAGCUUCAAAAAAAAUAAAUACCUCGGAAUGUCAUAGAUAAAAACUUUCAGACGGCCAACAGGGUUGUCCUCCAGCACAUCACCCGCACUUCCUGCAAAGAAUUUACCAGGUGUCCUUGUCAUCUAAGUGGAUGGUAUAACUUUCAUGUAGGACUUUCAUACAGAAAUAAAAUGAAAUAUGCCUUAUUAAGAGUUGUUCAUCACUGAAAAAUCAGGAUAACUAUGUUGCACACACAACCUUGCAACAGCUGAAAUGGCAUCUUUCAUUUAGUAGAAGCAAUAUUCAGCUGUCUUCAAGAUAAUAAGUUCCUAGGGAAAUUGAGCAUAAGUGGGUUCGCCUGGCGAUUGAGUUUCACAGCCUAAUUUCUUUCUACUGAACAGGAUAAGCUGCAUGUACUAUCUCUCUAUACUCGCACUUUGAACUAAUUUUGAGCGAUUUCUCAAGUUGGAGCUUGAUAACUGUGGGUUACCAAAGAAUUCCAAAUUGCUUAAUCAACCAGUUCUUAUAAAAUGCACCAUAUAAUCUGCACAAACUCUGGAAACCCGGGUCACCAGAUGAUAAAUUCUAUUUCCCCAAGCCAGCUUGCCAGGCUCCUUGCGCAACGAUCAAUAUUCACAACAUUCCCGAACAUAAGAAACCCUAAGCCAUGCAAAUGCGGUACCUGAAAUUCGUUGAUGACCCAUUUCCGCAGUGACAUCUUGAACAAAAUAGAUGAAUAGCAGCAGUAACACGACAGACCUUAAGCCAGAAGCCACAACAGUGCGCUUCAUUAACCCCCACCCUCUACAUUUCUUAUUACAGAACCAACUCAUAGCUAAACUACAAGAAUCUGCGCACUCCAAAGGGUGCUCCAUUGGCUGCCCUCCUUGUUCAGUGCCACCCCAUCAUGCCCUCCUACGAAACACCCAAUUCUCCCAUCCCUAAGAGAAGCUCCAAACCUUCCCGAAAACGCUACAAACCCUCUCUUCCGAUCCCCCAAAUGCUAGCUGCUAAAAAAAUAAAUAAUCCGUGCAGCUUAAACCAUCCGAACCCAUCCCAUCAAAUACCAUUCGCGUGUAGCUCGAUCGUGCAUCAACGCAUCACCGAAGUUUCCAAUGCUCCAAUACACGCACGCACACGCACAAGGUUGUCGUGAAUGCUACCGCUUGAGGCCAAGUCUGUCCCACUAGGACUCAAACCUCGGCUCCUCGGUGAUGAUCAGUGGGACAUCACGGCACCCACAGCUUCCUUCCAGCAAGCACGCAGCUGGCAAAGGGCUUGUAGCGUGAAGCUGGGCAUCAUGCUUCUAUGUCCAACAAGCGAUUGCACCCCGACUACUAAAUUUGUUUGGCAUGAUUCUCCUGACCAACUCGUGCUGCUUCUUCUCCGACGCCUUGACUCGGCCCAAGGGACCAGGACGCUGCGAGACCGUCAAUAAUAUCCAAGUUCGUUGAUUUCAAGUCAAGGUUUACAGAUAUUAGAGUGAAGUCUUCUCUUCUAAUUCAAGUGUAGAUUUGAAUGCGGAUGCUGACCAGGUGAGAAAUGAGAUCCAGAUCUUGAAACGACGUUCCACGGAUGGUGGCAUGAUCCUAAAUUAAACUAGGUUAGUGUUGAAUUAGUCGUUAAUUUCAUGUUAAGUGAGGUCUGUACCGAUGAGUAGAAGUGUAGGGUUUCAUUUUGUGUUUGAAUUUAGACAGUGGUUUUUGUGUUUGAAGUGAAAUUUUUUUUUUUUUUUUUUUUUUUUUUUGCGUAAUUAAAAUAGCCCGACAUUUUAGACGAGGAAUUUGAUAGCUUUUUUAAUACCAGGAUUAGAUUACAUAAUUUUUCUAAAAUCAGCUUUUUAUCAAAGUUAAAAAGUUACAGUUAAAAACAUUCAAUGCAUUAGAUAUGUUGAUAUCAUGGACAUUCAAACAGACUAAACUAGAUUUGAUAAAGCAAUUUUGGUCACACACACCUAACAACAACAACAACAACAACCACGCAUAUGUAUAUAAAUAUAGGCACAUAUAAUUGAUCACAUGGGUACACAAAAAAUAAUCAAUCAAUGUUAGAAAUAUUAAUAGUGCAUUCGCUUUACAGCUGUGCACUAUUAAUGUGCUUGAAAUUCCAUGCACAAUCAACAACAUGUGGAAUGAAGGAACACGCAUACAUAUACAACAUGUGGAAUGAAUGAACAAUUUUAGGUUUUAAAAAAACCAAUCCUUUUGAAACCCUAAUCCUGUAACAACGCGGAAGCCCUAUCCCUUACGCAGUUUUCAUGUCGAACAGGCUCGUGGUUGCUGGUGAAUUCAUGGCGCCAUGGAUGGGAUUGGCCGAUACGGCGCGAGCUGCAACGCGUCAUGGCAGAGAACCUCAAAGGCGGCUCUGGAAAUCAGAUGAUAUCGGUGGCGGCAGAUUAUAGCAGGUCUCUAAGAUUGACUUGAGCUCGAACAAGCGCUGGAUUCGGUGUGUAGGUUUUUGUUCGUCCGCAAGCUCGUUGGACUGAUACCGCCCCGAUUCGUCCAGCAAGCACGUCAUGGCGUCCGCGCGAUUCCCACAGACGAUGUCAUCAGCUGCACUGUCGCCCACCAUCAUCACCUCGUGGGGGUGCAGGCCCCAUUUGUCGCAGAUGUGCAGCAAUGGCGCGGGAUGAGGCUUGCAAGGGGUGAACUCACGGCCCAAAGCGGGAUGGAACUUGGGCAAUCCGAAUCGUGAGUGGAAGAAUUCGAUGCCAGUGUUCACAUUGCGGGUGAUGAUGCCGCGACGAAUGCCACGCGCAUCGAGGAAUGAGCACACCUCCUUCGCGCCCGGCAUGAUCUGAAGCUUCUCAUGGGCGUCUUGCUCGAUCUCUGUUAUUAUGGCGUACGCGCGAGCUUGUUUCUCGGAGCUCCAGCUGGAGAUUUCGUGAAGGAUGUCGAUAGGGUUGUUGUUGACGACGUCUGGAUGAUCUCCGCCCAGUAUACGUUUGUACAUGAGUCGGAAGUCGAUGCAAGGCACGGUAAGAGUCCCGUCCAUGUCAAAGAUCAUACCCUUCACCGAUGGCUUUGGGUGGAAAUGCUCCGCUGUCCCCGUCAGUAGCCGUCUUAUGGGUGACAUAGCCCUUCUGAAGCCUCACCACUCCUUUACACGGAAUGGACCAGGGAAGAGCUGAUACGCCAGUAACCCUUCAAGUAGUUUCCUGCAACCCAUAAACAUGAAUGCACCCCCAAGUACCAAAAGAUUAGAUUAUGUACAACACUUCUGCCCGAUUUUCCGUGACCAAUACCCACGUAAGCAACUCUUGAUCUGGACACAGCGUGUGCCGUAGCAAUUUGAUCUGCUUCAGCUGAAAGGAUUUCUUCCCUUGGCACUCUAUUGGUGAACAAUCAACCGAGAGCUAGUAAUUCCAAGAAGUACUAGAUAGUACAAUGUCUAAGACACUAUCAGUACAAUACCGUAAUCGAAUUAUCAAUUUGGAACGAGAGCAACGAUAGUAAGCCGAGAAGGUGUCGAAUUGCGGUUUGAUAGAAAAAUCUUGGUCAGAAGCACUGUUUUUCUAACAUGCCAGAUUCAAAAUAACACUCUCGGCAACGAGAGUGUUCAUCAAGCUGUCAAUAUGCGAAAUUCCACAGUCGUACAAUCACGAAUGGAAGAAAACCCGAAGCACUCGACGUUCGCACUCAAAAACCCAAUCCCUAUAUCCCAAUUCAGAGAGGGAAAACGAUUCCCAAGAUCAGUUAUUCAAAUUCCAAUACAUUCAUUCCAACCAUUGCCCUUAGCAUUGCAAUCCCACCAACUUCUCAGUAAUUCUUUCAUACCUUCAAGGCCCUGAACACUCCCGACAAUUCAAUAUUGGUUGUUGAUAGCAUUGCACGUUUCCAACCUCAAACAAAUGAAGCUCCAGAGAGUAACGGUCUCCACCACUCUGCCUUGAAGCUCCAGGUCAAUUCUCGGCACGCAGAGAGUGUAUAGAAAGAGUUCCAUCUCCACAUACCGCAAGGCCUCGGUGUGACAUACUGUAACACCAAAAGUGGAGAGCGAAUCUGGACCUUCCACAUCGUGAUCAUACUAUCAUUCUCCUUGAAAAAGCAACUCCCAUCAAACGCAAAGCUGUGGAAAUGACAGUGCGUUAGAAAGUGAGAAAGAGAGGAGACAGUCAUCGUCUCAUCCAUCCGCGACCCGUCGAUUUCUACCCCAUAUCUCUCUCUCUGCCUCAUCCGCUUAAAUUCCGUGGUUGCAUGAAGCAAGCAGGGUUAGUUUAUAUUAUUGGUUGUGUGUCAACGUAUGGUCAUCAUGUUGGCUCUCUGAAUGCCAUCUCUCUUGGGUAUUAGAGUCUCGCGCUACAACUCAUCCAGGGUUCCUGCAUGUAGAGAGUUGAGAAAAGAGAGAGAGCUACCUCGCAGACCCACAGAGGCAUUACCUGCUAAGGAGAUUCUGAUAUCCACAACAUGAAGCGAUUGUCAUCAUGUAGGGCUAUUGAAGGGCACCAGACCGAGAGUCUCUUAGUUAGUCUCAAAAGAUUGGACAAUGUGUUGAAAGACACAAAUACACAUUUUUAGUGCAAGUCACGUCUGCUUCUGAUCCAUUAUGUCUAUUCAAGAUAGGCCAAGCACAACCACCUGUGAGCGAUAUCGCUUUGUGACAUAGGUAUAACUUCUUGAUAGGGCAUCGCUUUCAGAGACGGUAUCAAUUCAAGACCACAUCUUGAGAUAGGUAACACCAAUAUAUAUAUAUAUAUAUAUAUAUAUGUAUAGAUAUGUGUUUUUUUAACAAAGUUUAGUAUUGAUAAUGUUGUUUUUCAUUUGCAUGAUAUCAAAGCAAGUAUGAUAAUUCACACCAGAGUUUGCACAUGAGUGAAGAUUUCUCCUAUUUUAAUAGAGAUUCAAGUUUGUUUGUUUUCACCUAAUGUUGAUCAAGUGAAUUAGAUAUAAUAAGCAAGACUCCAUUAUGGACUCUAUUGCCACAAAUUUCACUAAUUGGUGACAAGUCUAGCUUUGAUCAAUAUGCCCUUGGGAGGUUUUCAUUUUUUAUAAGAAAAAAUAAGGAUUUAUAUUUUGGAGUAUUUUGUGCAAUUUGUAGCACAUCUAUACAUAAAAAAUUUAGAGUUAGUACCUUAAGUUAUGUUGAAUGUGUGUUUAAGCUUGAUCAAAUAGUUAAUCAAAGAUUAUUGAAAUUUAAGUGGGAAGGAGACUAGGAAAUUGGAAUUUGGAGGGCUAGUGAAGGUUUCUCAUAUUUGUAACAAUCUGCAAAUUGGCAUUUUUUUUAUUUAUUAUUAUUAUUUUUUUAAUACCAGUAGCAGACUUGAUUUCCAACAAUUAUGCCAAUCUUGAAAGAAAUUGAACAAUAAAAACAAGAGAUGUCAGUGCUAAGAAUAUGCCAUUAAGAUUGGAGGAAGAAGGUGGUUGAUGCCUAAGUAGAUAAUGAAAAUUUUCUUCUAUUCAGUAUGUUUAAUCUUCAUUAAACUAUUUUUUCUUUUUUUUUUUAAUUAAAAAAUUGAAAGAUGCACAAGUUUUUAAUUAAUGACAGCAAUUAAAUUAUUAGUUAUUGAGAUUUUUAUUUUAACAUAGGAUUUAAUUAAGAUUUGAUUAUGAUUACAUAGGAUUUGAUUAUGAUUUUUGGUAGGUAUUUAUUAGAAUUUGGCUAAGAGUAAGCAUUAAGAUUUUGUAAAGAUUUGACUAGGAUUUAAGAUAAGGAUUUGAAAAGGAUUUAAUUAAGAUUCUUUUAGGAUUUAUUUAAAGUUUGAUUAGGAUUCCUUUAGGAUUUCAUACAAAUUUUAUUAAGUGUCUUUUAAGAUUCUUUUAAAAUUUUAUUUGAAUUUGAUUAGGAUUUGAUAAGGAUUCAUUAAGAUUUCAUUAAUGUUUGGUUAUAAGUACUUAGAGUUUGUUAGAAUUUGAUUAAGAUUUGAUUAAAGUUUCUUUAUGGCUUAAUAAAAUUUGAAUAGGAUAUGAUUAAGAUUUAUUUAGAGAUGAUUAGAAUUUAAUAAGAUAUAUCUAGGAUGAUUUCAAAAUUAAUAGGAUAUAUUGAGGAUAAUUAGAAGUUUAUCCAAGAUUGCAAAGGGGUGUUUCUAAAUGCCUUAUACAUAGGUUUUGGUUGUAAAUCAAACUUUAAGGUAAGCUCAUUCUCUUCUACAAUUAGAUGUCUAGUGCAUCAAGUUAGAUUUCACAUAACACAACACUGCCUUUGGUUUAGGUAGUUAAGAAAAAAUACAUAUUUACAAAGGUUAAGUAGCAAAGAUUUUUUUUUAUCACAAUGUAGCUAUAAAUAGCUAUAAUAUUAUUUUGUAGAUAAUACAAGAAUAGCAACAAUUAAUAUUUGGUUAUAUACUUUAUAUCUAUUUUAUUAGUACAUAGAUAGUUCUAAGUCUUAGGUUGUAAAAUGAUUAGAGAAAAGAUUCAUGAAGACCUUUAGGUUUUCAACUCAAUAUGAAGAAGCCUUGGAACUCUGGCUUUGGAAUUGUAAUUGUGGUGCUUGAAGGCUAGUCAGACGAUGAAUUAGAUCGAAAAUGUGUAAUUGAUGAUUAUGGAAGGAUCUUGGCCUCUUACAGAAGCUUCAAAAGGGACAUUUCUUCAGCUAUUAGUACAACGAAAAGAAAUAGAAUUAGUUAAAUGAGGAAGGAUUAUGUGGAGAACAAUUUACUAUUUUGUAUGUUGUUAGAUGGAGCUUGGGACAUAGUUCCAAGGCCAAAUUGAAGAGGUUAAGAUUGAGCAUGGGAAAUACAUGAGAUUGAGCUGUAAAUUAUUACAUAUGAGAUUGAGCAUGAGAAAUUGGGUCUGUUAUAUUAAGAAUGCAUUAAUCAUCAGGCAGGCAUAUAGCCCUGCCAUCUUCGGUCAAGUACCCACGUCUGCCUCGCUCUAGCUUCCAGCAGGUAUAUCGAACAAGCACACAAGCAAAUUAACAACCGUACACUGCAACACGACAUUUCAAUCCCAAAAACAACACCGUUCUGGACACCCUGUAACUGCUCCGCCAAAACCAAAUCCCGCACUAUUCACUUCUUCUUGGCAGCGGCCUUAGUAACCUUCGCACCAGUUGGUUCCUUCUUCUCCACGGCCUUGAUAACACCUACGGCCACCGUCUGUCUCAUGUCACGCACGGCGAAACGUCCCAAUGGCGGGUAUUCCGCGAAAGUCUCCACAGUCAUGGGCUUGGUCGGAAUCAUCUUUACGAACCCUGCGUCUCCGUUCUUCAAAAACUUGGGCUCCUUCUCCAGCUCCUUACCCGAUCGCCUGUCCACCUUCGUCAAGAUCUCGGCAAACUUCACAGCAAUGUGAGAGGUGUGGCAGUCCAGCACCGGCGCGUAACCGUUUCCGAUCUGUCCCGGGUGGUUCAUGAUGAUAACCUGGGCAGUGAAGUUGGCUGCUUCCUUCGCAGGGUCGUUCUUCGAGUCCGAAGCCACGUAUCCUCUCUUCAGGUCCUUCACCGCCACGUUCUUCACGUUGAACCCGACGUUGUCUCCGGGGUGAGCCUCAGGCAUCGACUCGUGGUGCAUCUCUACCGACUUCACCUCAGUCGUCAGUCCAGUGGGUGCAAAGCACACCAACAUACCCGGCCUGAUGAUUCCAGUCUCCACACGUCCCACUGGCACAGUUCCAAUACCUCCAAUCUUGUAGACAUCCUGAAGGGGCAACCGCAGGGGUUUGUCGGACGGCCUCUUGGGCUCUGACACGUUGUCCAGGGCCUCGAGAAGGGUUGGGCCCUUGUACCAGUCCAAGUUCGUCGAUCGCUCGAUCAUGUUAUCACCCUCGAACCCUGAGAUGGGCACGAAGGGGAUCUUGUCGGGGUUGUAACCGACCUUCUUGAGGUAAGUCGACACCUCCUUGCUGAUCUCAUCGAAUCGAGCCUUGCUGUACUUCGGCGUGGUAGCGUCCAUCUGACAAGCAAGUAACGAGCAUUGUGAGAAACAGAUUACAUCCGUAGACCGGGCAUAUAGUUUUCCAUUGCAAGUAAGAACAUAGCAAUAAAAUUAGAGAGGCAACUCGUCCGGUUUGACUUGGGCAAUCUAGACCCUGCGCACAAAGACAAGUGGGCAACCUAGACCCUGCUCACGGACCAGAUAACAUAACAUAAUUCUUCUUUAGGUAACGAGACCGAAUUCAGAGUACAUCUAGCUUGCCUAACCUUGUUGCAGCAGCAUAUCAUCUGCUUCACUCCCAAGGUGAAAGCCAACAGAGCGUGCUCACGGGUCUGUCCAUCCUUGGAAAUACCAGCUUCAAAACCUCCGGUGGUAGAGUCAAUGAUGAGAACCGCGCAGUCAGCCUGGGAGGUACCCGUGAUCAUGUUCUUGAUGAAAUCACGAUGUCCGGGAGCAUCAAUCACAGUACAGUAGUAUUUCACUGUCUCGAACUUCCACAGAGCAAUGUCAAUUGUGAUACCACGCUCACGCUCGGCCUUGAGCUUGUCCAACACCCACGCAUACUUGAAAGAACGCUUGUUCAUCUCCGCCGCUUCCUUCUCGAAACGCUCAAUCACACGCUUGUCGAUUCCUCCCAGCUUGUAGAUAAGAUGACCAGUGGUGGUCGAUUUUCCGGAGUCGACAUGGCCAAUGACCACGAUGUUGAUGUGUACCUUUUCCUUACCCAUGUCGGUCAAGCUGACAGACCCCAACAAACCAAAAGUUAGCUUAACUUGCUACAGGGGAUCAUGCGGGAUAACACCCGCAAGGACAGAGUCGGAGUAUAUGCAAGAACUCAACAGAAUACUAGCCAUAGUAUCUAGGUGAAACGAUACUCCCAAAGGCUAGCAACAAAGAGCUGCAAACCAUCCACCGCCGCAGGCUCAACCACCUUGACCCACCAAUCAAUCCGCAAGCUCGACAGAGGGGACUCACUAACACCUUACCCCUCCACUGAGCCACUCUUGAAGACCCUUAUUACUACGCCACAGCUAAAAGGAUCGCAUGACCGGCAAUGAACAAAAAAUAAAAGGUAAAACGAGAGAAAAAAACAAAUGAUGUAAACACUAACACGGAUACCUGUAACAGAAGUAGGGCAGAUACACGCGAAGUGCAGGCAAGAAUGCAAAGAAUUGUAGAGGGGCAGGAACCCACCGUGGGUGCGAGGCGGCGAGAGGGGCGACGAGGGCGAAGGCUGCUGGAGGCGAUUGAAGUGGGCGGCUGAGGGCGGGGGUGGCUGGUUCUUGAAGGAACAGGCGGUUUGACGGCCAACCCUAAUCAGCGCAGCACAGGGUGGCGUCGCGUCGGCUCCAAGCCCGGAAGGGGGGGGGGGGGAGGUGGGGGGGGGGGGUGUGUGUGUGGUGUAGUGGGUGGGGUUCGUUAUCGCAACGUCUUCGCUCACAAAAAUCUCGUCGCUCGGUUGGGAUGCUCUAUGCCGCGCGCGCGGUUAUGGACACCGCGGCUCUAUCACGGUGUGGGUGUGGGAUCCAGUCUCCUUCUCCGUGAAGCGUUUGCCAAUUAGGUCAUGCGGUUUUCAGCUGACGUGACGACGGACUCCUGAAAAAAAGUUUGCCUCAAACUUUUCGUUCGUUAUGUGGUCUGGCAAUAUUGGGAGCUUGGUGCAUCGUUAAUGUUUUGAUUACCAAUAAUAAAAACAUGGUAUUGGAUUUAUGGUUGGAUUAUUUUUUUAUAUGCAUACAUGUGAAUUCAUAUAUAUAUAUAUAUAUAUAUAUUCAUUGAGUUUUUUAUUUUAAAAUUAUUGUACUUAUUUAUAAUAAUGGUUAGAUAGUUCUUUCUUAAUAUUUAUUUUUAUGAUUUACAUUAGUUAUUGGAUUUUUAUUUUUGUUUUUGUAAAGGUAGUAUCUUUGAAUUAUAUGUUAAUAUGUUUUUUUCAUCAUAAGUAUAUACGAUGUUUAUAUAUUGAGAUGAUUUUUUUAAAAAUUAAAUAUGUUAUUUAUUUAUAAAAUUUAAAAUAAUUAAUAAUAUUAUUUUUGAAAUAAUUACAUUAAUAUCUAUAAUUAGUAUUUAUCAUACUAUUUAAAAAGUAUCUUUGGAAUAUGAGAGUUUGAUUUAUAAUAUAUAUUAUAUUAAAUAAAAAAUGUAUACUAAUAAUAUAAUAUUCUAAAAUUAUAUGUAUGUGAAGGACAUGAAUCUUGAAGAAUUGAAAGAUCAAGACACUCUUGUAUUAGUCAAAAAGAUUAAUCUUUAUAGAUUUUGAUAGAUAUAAUUAAUAACCAACAAACUUAAUUUGUUUAUAAAUAAGAAAAGGUCUAAGCCUAUAAUAAUCCAACUGAUCACAAAGAUAUGUAGUCUUGAUAUUAUGCCGAAAUAACCAUACCUUGUCGCUUAUGUUAAAUUGUGGUUAUUUCUUGCAAUGGCCAUUCAGAUUGAUUUUUGUUGUUUUUGAGCUUCUUUUAAUUAUGUCUUUAUUUUUGCAUAUAUCUUUGAUAAUUAAUUUUUCAAAAUUUUCUACCACAUGAUUAUUAGCUUUGAAAAAGCAUAAAAUAUCAAAUCAUGGAUGAUAAUCAUAAUUGAUAAAGAAAGGUAUUUGUUAAAUAGAAGAAUGUAUCAAAUUAUUGUAUGUAGACUUUGUCAAUGGUAAAAGAGUUGCCCAAUCAUCUUGAUAAUAGUUAAUAGUAUACUUCAAAUACUAUUAAUUCCAUUUUUCCAUUAAUUUGAAGAUAAAAGACUAAUGUUAAUUUUAUAUCUAUCUUUAAUAUUUUAAAAAGGAUUUUCUAAAAUCUUAAUAUAAAUUAUGUCAUUUUAUCUAAUAUAAUAAAUUUUGAUAAUCCAUAAUAAUGAUAAAUGUUGUCAAAAAAAAGCUUAGCUAUUUUUUUACUUGAAAUAGAUUUUUUACAUUGUACAAAAUGUAUCAUUUUAGUGAAGCAAUCUACAAUCAUAAAUAUAAAGUCAUAUAAACUUGAAUUUAAAAGAUCUAUAAUAAAAUUGUCAAGGACAAAGACUCGAUGAGGGAAAAUAUACAAAAAGGCUAUCUCGAUAUAAUAAGUCAAAAUAUAAACAAGUAGGUAUAUUAAAAGGAAACUGGAAUGGCUAUUGCCACAAGACAAGAAACUAAAGACUCUCGAACCUGGACUAGAAGCAAGAAAGGAGUUGACAAGAGUGAAGAAGCCUUCACUCUUGUCUCUAUAUAUACUAUCUAACUAGGAGCUACGUGACGACGUUCUAUAGGACCUCCAAUAUGUGUUGACUUUGUAGGACACAUGCCUUGACUUACAAGGCAAGUUUUUCUACGUGUGGGCCACAUAGUUAGCUUGAUCUUCAAGCUAACAACAUGUGUGGCACAUGGCCAACUUGUUGACCACGUUUCUAAUCCAAAAAGUCAAUUAAAGACACUUAUGAAGUCAAAGCAGCGUCUAGGAAGUUUUUAGGAAGCUUCUAUAUUAAAUAUUAUAGAAUUAACUUACUUUUAUCUACUUUUACUUACUUCUACCUAUUUCUAUAUGUAAUUAUUAGCUUACAUGAUUAUGGCUAUGACAUUACCCCCCCUUCUAGAGACGAGUUCCACGAGGAGCGGUCAUCAUAUGUUGAGGAAAUCUAUGAUGCGACGAAUUGUAUUCGCCACAUACUCUGAUCUCUGUUCUCUUCGAAGAUGAUUGAUAGGGCCUCUCAACCAUCGGUAGUGUCCCAUACCAGGGCGGGAAGACCACCCAGUUAUUUGAUCAUUGUUGAGGCCUUCGUAACUUCCUUCGAAUAGAAUAUUUGGAACACCAUCAGGAGUUGUUCCUACCUCUAGUAAAAUCACCAAACAUCGGGAGUCCCUUCCCAAAUCGUGAUACCAAACGCGUUGUAUCUCACCAUCUAUUCGAGGAAGAACAUGUCGUUCUUGAAGAUGUUCAUCUCGAUUGCGUCGUCUUGAAGGUUGUGACAAUUGUAAUGUCUCGUCCGGCAGGUCAGCAAACGAAGGUUCUUGAGUUGAAUCCGCUGGUUGUUGGCUCUCCAUCUAAUUAGCGUCAGAAAUGUAAAGAAGUUAUAAACAAGGAUAGGAAAUUGAAUGUUAUCUUGCAUCAAUCUUGUCUCUUUUAUAAGAGAGAUUUUCAUCUUGGUUUCGAUGGAUGUCGUUGAUGAAAAACUUUGACUUUAGCUGAUGCAUUUGCUAGAUUCCUGGAUGGCUCCCAUGUGCGUUCACUAAUAUCAUAUCCGCGCCAAUGAACAAGAUAUUCCAGCUUAUUUCGGCGCCGCCUUGAGUCUAAUAUCUCUUCCACCUCAAAUUCUUCAUUAUUAUCUACUUCUAUAGGAGGCGGUGGCAUUUGUUUUCUUCCUUGUAUAUCCACUGUCUUAUAUGGUUCAAGAAGAGACACGUGGAAUACAGGAUGGAUCUUUAUUGACUCCUGUAGAUGUAACCGAUAUGCAACUGGGUUGAUCUAUUCAGAAACAGAAAAGGGGCCAAGCCUACGAUAGUCCAACUUGUCACAAGGUCGAGUAGUCUUGAUAUUGCGACGAAGUAGCCAUACCUUAUCACCCACAUUGAGUUGUGGUUGCUCCUUACAAUAUAGAUCUGCGUUUAUCUUUUGUCGUUCUUGAGCUUCCUUCAAUUGCGUCUUCAUUAUUGCAUGUAACUCUGACAACCGAUUUGCCAUAUCUUCUGCUGCAGGAUUAUCAACUUUUGAAAAAUCAAAAGUAUCAAGUCGUGGAUGAUAGCCAUAAUUGGCAAAGAAAGGUGUUUGUUGCGUGGAAGAAUGUACCGUAUUAUUAUAAGCAAACUCUGCCAAUGGCAGAAGGGUUGUCCAAUCAUCUUGUUGGUAGUUGAUAGUACACCUUAAAUAUUGCUCCAAGACUUGGUUUACGCGCUCUGUUUGUCCAUCAGUUUGAGGAUGGAAAGUCGAAGAUAGUUUUAUGUCCACUUUUAAAAUCUUGAAAAGGGUCCUCCAAAAUCUUGACACAAAUUGAGUUCCCCUAUCCGAUAUGAUAUCUUUAGGUAAUCCAUGAUAGCGAUAGAUAUUAUCAAUGAAAAGCUUAGCUGUUUCUUCACCUGUGAUAGAUUUUGUACAUGGCACAAAAUGUGCCAUCUUGGUGAAACGAUCUACUAUCACAAAUAUAGAAUCAUAAGAUCUUGAGCUUGGAAGAUCUGUGAUGAAAUCCAUAGAAACAGAAGACCAUGGUUGUUCUGGUAUAGGUAAUGGUUGAAGAAGUCCGUAAGGUCGAUGAUGAGGAAUUUUUGAUCUUGAACAAAUAUCACAUGAUUGUACAAAGUCUUUGACUGACUUCCACAUUUGUGGCCACCAAAAAUCUCUUGAUAUGAGUUCCAAAGUCUUAUUAUAUCCAAAGUGCCCUGCUGCUGGAAAGUCAUGACGUGCUUGAAGAACACGUAAACGUGCUUCUCCUUCUGGAACAUAUAGGCGUCCUUCAAAAUAUAAUAGAUUAUUCUUGAACUCGAACUUAGAAGGAUCAUGAGACUUGGAAGAAUUAUUCUCGAUAUCAUAAACAAGAGGGUCUGAGGACAUACUGGACUGGAUUUGCUUGAGAAAAGUUGAAUCAACAGUCAAUGUUGAUUUCAUUGCUCGGAGAUGAAAUUGCUCCGGUUUCAAGAGGACCGUUCUUUGUUGCUCAAAAGCUGCAUCUCCUUCUUUUGGUGCAAAAUAAGAACAUCUAGAUAGGGCAUCGGAUAAACCUUGUUGUUUUCCUGGCCGAUAAGUGAUAAUGAAGUCGAAUCUUGACAAAGACAUACUCCAACGAGCUUGACAACGAUUCAACACGCGUGUUGACAUGAAAUACUCGAGGUUCUUGUCAUCUGUAUACACAGUGACUGGACUAGAAGCGCCUUCUAGAUAAUGAUGCCAUUCUUGAAAGGAAUCCACGAUCGCAAGAAGUUCUUUAUCGUGGAUCUCAUAAUUGAUCUUGGUUGCUACGAAUUUUCUUGAAUGAAAAUCUAUCAGAUGAAGUUUGUCAUCUGUUCCCAUUUGUGAUAAAACUGCACCCAAAACAAAAUCUGAUGCAUCUGUUUCCAUAAAAAAUGCCUUGAAAAAGUCAACACGAUAUAAGACUGGUGCAGAAACAAACGAUGUCUUCAAAGCUUCAAAUGCUGCUUCCGCUUCUUGAUUCCAUUGAAAUUUAUCUUUACUAGUCAAGCGUGUAAGUGGAGCUGCAACUCGUGAGAAAUCUUUGAUGAAGAUUCGAUAGUAAUUGGCAAAUCCCAAGAAACAUUGGACAUCUCUUACCGUCCUUGGAAUCUUCCAAUCCAUGAUUAUUUGGACUUUCUUAGAAUCCAUCAUGAGACCAUCAUUUGAAAUGAUGUAUCCUAAAAAGUCAACUUGAGUAGUGUGAAAUACACACUUUUCCAUCUUGGCGUACAAUCCUGCAUCUCUAAGUUUUUGUAAUACUUGACAAACAUGUAUUUCAUGUUCUUCGUCGUUCUUAGAAUAGAUCAGGAUAUCUUCUAGAUAGCAGACGACAAAAUUGUCUAAGAAUUCACGAAAUACAUCAUUCAUGAGAUGUUGAAAAGCAGCUGGUGCAUUCGUGAGUCCAAAGGGCAUGACAUUAUAUUCGAAAUGUCCAUACCUGGUUCGAAACGCAGUCUUCCAUUCAUCUCCUUCUUUGAUCCGUACUAGAUUAUAUGCUCCUCUUAGAUCUAUUUUUGUAUAGAUCUUAGCUUGAUUCAACUAGUCAAGGAGUCCUGAUAUCAAAGGUAAUGGAUACCUGUUCUUGAUUGUGAUCUUGUUGAGUCCUCGAUAAUCAACACACAUUCGUAAAGAUCCAUCUUUUUUCUUUACGAAUAGAAUUGGAGCUCCUGCUGGAGAUUUUGAAUGGCGUAUGAAAUUCUUCGCUAAAUUCUCGUCAAUAUAUGUCUUGAGUUCAGCCAUCUCAUCUUGCGAUAAACUGUAAAUUGGUCCAAAUGGUGGCUGAGUUCCUUCCUUGAGGUCGAUUGAACAAUCAUAUGGACGAUGCUCAGGAAGAAUAUCUGCAUUCUUUUUCUCAAAAACGUCUUGAUACUCCUGAUAUUGACUUGGAAUGCCACUUGAAGUCUUUACGUUUUCAGAAAUAGGUGCAGCAUAAAUAGCAAAAGUUGAUCCUUCUUUUGCUGCGUGUAUAAAUGCUUUUGCACCUAUCAGUGCGGGUUUUAUUAUACUAGACUUAUAAUUUUUUACUUGGUUAGUAGAACUAUUAAUAACGCUCUGGAAAAAGUCAAGUUUACAUGAAUUCAAAUCUAUUCGAGGGUUAUAUUUUUCUAGCCAGGAUAAACCUAAAAUAACUGGAUUGGACGGGGAUUUAAUUAUGUUAAAAGCUAUGUAGCUAUCAUGACCGUCUAUUGUUACUUUUAUAGGAUGAGUUUCAUGAGUGACAUCUCCAGAAGACAAGGGACGACCAUCUAUGACUUCUACAUGUAUUGGUUUAGGUUUCUGUACAAAGGGUAUUUUACGACUUUUAAGAAAUUGUUCAUCUAAAAAACAUGCUGAGGCUCCUGAAUCUAAUAAAGCAGAGGCUUUGUAAUUCUUAGGUCCUAAAUAUAAGUCUAUUAUAAAACAAGGAGAGGGUUCUGAGGAGAGGAUAGGACCUUCAUUAGGAAUUGUACAAGGUUCCAGCUGCACGGUCCCUAUUGUAGCUGGACGAAUCCGUUUUCCGACAUAUUGUCUUCUUUGACCGUCGUACCCCUCAUUUUAUAGUUGCGUCGUUUCUUUGGACAAUGUUGAGCAGUGUGCUUAGGUUCUCCGCAAUAUAAACAUAAUCCUUCUUGACGACGACGAAUCUUUUCUUGCUCAGUUAGAGGUUUAAAACGUACCGCGUCAAUUUGCAUGUCUUCUACUUCCGGAUGUACGUUUGGUAAAGAUGUUGAUGUUG
RNAcentral lists this long non-coding RNA (52200 nucleotides) under Physcomitrium patens. Its description in RNAcentral is "long non-coding RNA (PPAT_LNC001052)". The record is from RNAcentral. Lineage: Eukaryota; Viridiplantae; Streptophyta; Bryopsida; Funariales; Funariaceae.